RNAcentral lists this long non-coding RNA (48538 nucleotides) under Eucalyptus grandis. RNAcentral's name for it is "long non-coding RNA (EGRA_LNC004031)". Lineage: Eukaryota; Viridiplantae; Streptophyta; Magnoliopsida; Myrtales; Myrtaceae. The record is from RNAcentral.
CUCAUUUACCUCGAAGUGCCUAGGUCGCACCUUUUGAUUAAAUGAUCGAGCUACCUUCUGCUGAUAACACUGACCAUGACAGAGGGCUUUCAGUCGCUUUUCAUCGAUCAUGUUCAGCUGCUCGAGCCUUUGUUGUGUCCAUUCCUCCUUAGAUAAUCCAGCCUGGGAUAAAAUUCGUAGGGAAGGGAUUUCUACUUCCACGGGUAAAACUGCCUCCAUACCGUAAACCAGGGAAAAAGGGGUCGCCCCAGUAGAAGUUCGAAUCGAAGUUCGAUAUGCUGUUAGUGCGACGAGUAGCCUCUCGUGCCAGUCGCGGUAAUUUUCAGCCGUCUUGGCUAGGAUUCUCUUGAUGUUCUUGUUGGCAGCCUCUACAGCCCCAUUCAUUUGCGGGCGAUAAGGGGAUGAGUUCAGAUGCUGGAUCUUGAACUUAGAAAAUAAUUGGUCAAUCAGCUUGUUGUUCAGAUUUGUCCCGUUGUCGGUGACGAUGGAAUCUAGCACGCCAUAUCGAGCGAUUAUGUCACGUUUGAUAAACUUCAUAACAUUCCGUGCAGUUACACUUGCAUAUGAUGUGGCCUCGAUCCAUUUCGAAAAGUAAUCAAUUGCAACCAAGAUGAACCGAUGCCCGUUUGACGCCUUUGGGUUAAUUGGGCCGAUUACAUCGAUGCCCCACAUUGAAAACGGCCAUGGCUCAGAUAACUGAUGCAGUUCAGUUGGAGGGACAUUUAUCUUAUCUCCGUGAAUUUGACAAUGGUGACAACUUCGUGCAUGCUGAGCACAAUCAUUCUCUAAGGGGAGCCAGUAAUAACCCAGUCUCAUUAUCUUCUUGGCCAACAUACGUCCAUUCAUGUGAGGGCCACAUACUCCCUCGUGUAUUUCUUGCAUUAUUCGUGUGGCUUCUGCCGCGUCCACACAUCUUAGCAGGACUGAAUCAUACGAUCUUUUGUAUAGAUUUUCACUGCUGACGAAAAACUUUGAAGCCAUUUUCAUUAGGAAUUUUCGAUCAGAGGGAGUGCUUUGUUUAGGGAACUCCUGCUUCUGGACGUAUUUCAUGAUGUCGUAAUACCAGGGUCUCCCGUCGGGCUCUUCAGUUAUGGCCAUGCAGUAGGCCUGUCUUGCCAGGACUUCGAUUUUUAAAGGCUCAACUUCUAACCCUCUUGUUGCUUGCAACAUAGAUGAUAGCGUUGCUGGUGCAUCAGCGAACUGAUUAUGAAUUCUAGGUAGGUAUUCAAACGAGAUGUCUUGGAAUCUUCCCGCCAACUUUUCUAAGUAACCAUGAUAAGGCACAAGUUUGGCGUCUUCUGUCUUCCAUUCGCCCAAUGUCUGGAGGAUUAUUAAGGUAGAAUCACCGAACACCUUUAGCUUCGUCACUCCCAUUUCAAUAGCCGCUUGCAGGCUGAGGAUGCAUGCUUCAUAUUUGGCUAUAUUGUUGGUACAUAGAAACAUCAAUUUUGCAGCCACAGGAUAAUGCUGUCCAUUUGGGGAUAUCAAGACUGCCCUAGUGCCGGAGCCUGAUAAAUUUACAGCUCCGUCAAAGAACAUGCUCCACGUGUCUUCUUCUACCGCGGAAAUUCGAUCGUCCGAGGGAUUAUCCUUGCAUACUUCUUUAGGACAGUCUACUAACAUAUCAGCAAUCACCCGCCCUUUAACUGAUUUUUGUGACAUGACUUGAAUGUCGAAUUCCGAGAUCAGGAUUUGCCAUUUAGCCAAUUUUCCUACCAAUGCUGGGCGACUGAGCAAAUACUUAAUCGGAUCACUUUCGGUUACGAGGAAAGUUUGGUAAUGCAAGCUAUACUGUCGGAGUCUAUGCAACACCCAUACUAAUGCGGCGCAUGUUUUUUUUUAUUUGGAAUAGUUUUGCUCUGACGUGGUGAACUUUUUGCUCAAAUAGUAGAUGGCUCGCUCCUUCUGGUCAUGGGGCUCCUUUUGUGCCAGCAUUGCACCUAAGGACUCACUGCUGAUUGUAAGGUAGAGAAUUAAAGGGUGCCCCGGUACUGGAGGUACUAGAAUCGGGGGUUUCAUCAAGUAUUGCUUUAGGUCUUCAAAUGCCCGUCGGCAAUCAUCAUCCCAUUUAAUUUGUGCAUCUUUCCUAAGAAGUUUAAAGAAAGGUUUUGCAGUUUCAGAAAGCUGGAAAAUGAAUCGAGCAAUGUAAUUUAAUCUCCCCAUGAGGCUCCGGACUUCUUUUACAGUUGAGGGAGGAGGCAUCUCAAAUAUCGCCUUGGUUUUUGAUGGAUCUACUUCUAUCCCUUUACAGCUUACAAUGAAUCCAAGUAAUUUGCCAGAAGUUGCCCCAAACACACAUUUCGCCGAAUUCAAGCGCAACUUAAACUGGCGAAGUCGCUCAAAUAGUUUCUCCAAGGUCUUCACAUGGUUUUCUCCAUGUCUGGUUUUAGCGAUCAUGUCAACGACAUAUACUUCAAUUUCUUUGUGCAUCAUGUCAUGGAAAAGGGUGACCAUGGCUCGCUGGUAAGUUGCUCCAGCAUUUUUCAGGCCAAAAGGCAUGACCUUAUAAUGGAAAGUGCCCCAUGGAGUAAUGAACGUCGUUUUUUCCUUGUCUUCCUCCUUCAUCUUUAUUUGGUUGUAUCCCGAGAAUCCAUCCAUAAAAGAGAAUAGUUUGAACCCUGCAGUACUGUCUACCAAAACGUCUAUGUGGGGUAAUGGGAAGUCAUCUUUCGGGCUUGCUUUGUUCAAGUCACGAUAGUCGACACAAACACGUAUUCAACCAUCCUUCUUCUUCACUGGCACAAUGUUUGCUACCCAGUUGGGGUAUCGCGAGACUUCGAGGAAACCCACUUCGAGGAGCUUCAUUACCUCUUCUUCAAUCUUUUUUGACAAUUCCGGCUUGGUUCUUCUUAGCCGUUGUUUCUUAGGGGCUAUAUCAGGGUUAGUUGGCAAACUAUGCUCCACGAUCAUUGGAUCAAGGCCUGGCAUAUCCGCAUAUGACCAUGCGAAUACGUCUUGAUACCUCUUUAAAAGAGCAAUCAGGUUCGCAGCUUCUUCUUCAGGAAGGUUGGUGCCAAUCUUUAUCUCUCUUGGACCUUCUGUGCUGCCUAAAUUGACAGUGACGGUGUCUUCAAUGGUAGAGGGCCUUGUUUCCUCAUGCCGCUCCCAGUCUCAUUGAAUUUCAUUGGAAUUAUCAAAGUCAUCAUCUGAGCUAUCAGAAUUGCUAUCAUGGCUAUCCACGAUGCUAGUUUGGACCGCUCCCAUACCCUGGCCUACCGCUAGAUUAUUCCUGUGUCAUAGAGUAGAUAGGCUAAGAGGACAAAUAAGGUUAGUAGUAUGCAUGCUUUUUUUGGAAAUGUGAUAAAUUGUUCUUGAAGAUUUAGGAUAAGGAAACAUGAGGAGACCCGGGCCUCAGAUUUCUUCUUUCAUUUGAUGGCUGGCUAUCAUCAACGGGCCGGUUUGGUGUGUCUCCCCAUGCCCUCAAAAUGUUUUCAACUUUAUUUAUUAGUAGACGGAUUUACAAAGUGAUUUCAAAAAAUGGUUCCCCAAGUGGAACAGGUGUUGAAAACAAAACAAGCCAAACUCUUAAAAAAAUAUGUACAGGUUCCCACGUAGGGGAGUAUGCGAAGGAAAUAAAAAGGAUUCUACACGAGCGAGUCUGCGCCCAUUUCCCCUGGCGGUCCUUCAUUGAUAGUGCCCACGAAGAAGUCUUCAUACCAGCUACCAGCCACAUCUCCCUGUGCUUGCGGCUUUGCAGAUUCCAGAUCAUCCAUGCCUUCCCAUCCAUCAGGGACGAUGCGGCGAUGAUGAUCAUAGAAACUUUGGGGGAUUGAAUAAUUGACAUAGUAGUCAAAUUUACCACUUGGCUGACCCAAAGUGUCCAUGAUCAUCUCUCCUUUACGUGCUUCCUUAGCAUGCUCAGGGAACAUGGUACGAGUGCUGGGUACCACGAGGAGGUGAUUUUGGCCAAAACACAGCCACGGAGAGCGGAACGUGAAUACCCCAGCAUCUAAAAGAUCCUGAACCUUGUCUUUCAGGAUGGUACAACCAUCUAACGAGUAUCCUAAUUCUCCCGAAUGAUAAUCACAUUGCUUGGAUGGAUCAUAAUCAAGGAAGUACUCGGGAGUAGGAUGACUCAGUUCCCUGGCGAUUAGCCCUUGCUCUAGGAGGAUGGGAAAAACGAUGGUCAUCGAUUUAGGAAGAGGCGAAUACUGCCUCAUGCUUUUUUAGGACUGAGAUAGCCAGACCCCUUGCCAGAUCGCAUCAGUAGGGUCUUCUUCAUUUACUACUAAAUCUUCAUUAUGACGAGAGCGAAAUGUGCGGGUAGCUUGAGCAAAGUUUUCCGUCAAGUGGUGUACUGUCUCGCGUAGUUCAUCAACUUGGCGCUGAAGCUGGAUGAAUGAGAAGUUAUCGCCUGCUCCUUCUAACUGUUCUUCCUCAAUAGCACAUAUAGAAAUGUCUCCAAACAUGGUGGUCAUGUCAUCCGGCCCCUCUUUCUUUGAGGGCCAAGUUGUGCCCUCCUGGAUUACGGGCAAGUUUGAGCUCUCGGGGUUGAACCAAUUUGAAGUAUUGAUCACUCCUUCCUCUUCAUGCAUCAUCCGAGCUGGGCCUGGGAAAGUUUCCUCGAGACGGGGGUAUAAAAGGCUGACUUUUUUCUUUGCUUUUCUAUCCGGGAGGUAUCCUAAACCGACAGUGUAGGGUCUCCUCAGGGCUUCAAUAGGUUGACGGAUGCCCUGGCCUUCCUUACCAAGUCCUUGUCUUGGAAUGAAACCGUGUCCAACCAUGAUUUUUCCUACCAUGAUCGCAGCACUUGAUACUUCGAGGAUGAGGGGCAAGGUCCCUCGAUUUUCGUGUACAGUAGACACAAGCUUGAACGAUUGAUAGCUAGCUUCAUUCUUGUCACUAGGCUCAACAUAAGGAAUGGCUGUCUCGUGGUAGAUACGGUGGUCUUCUUCUCCUCGAACUGUGAUUAGCUUCCCUCCAACCACGAACUUCACACUUUGGUGGAGGCUUGAAGGUACUGCUCCUGCGAUGUGGAUCCAUGGGCGCCCUAAGAGGAAAUUGAACGCAGUGGAGAUAUCCAUUACUUGGAACAAAAUUUUGAAUAUAGUUGGGCCAAUUUGAACGUCGAGCUCAAUCUCUCCUACUGUUUCCUUCUUUGUUCCAUCAAAUGCUCGAACAGAAGUCUUGGGUACUUGGAUCCGUGAUUUGUCUAUUUGAAGGCGACAGAGUGUUGCUAGUGGACAUAUGUUAAGAGCAGAUCCAUUGUCAAUCAGCACUCGAGCAACGUGAGACGCGUUGCAUUUGACUGAUAUGUAGAGGCCUUUGGUGUGUCCUCUACCCUCCUCAGGGAUUUCUUCAUCAGAGAAUGCCAUUUGAUCCUUCAAUAGGAUGGUGCUAACAAAUUCCUCGAGUUUGUCAUGUUCAAUUGUUUCAGGGACAUGUACCUCACUUAAUACCUUCAUAAGGGAUUUUUGGUGCUUGACAGAUGUCUGAAGCAAUUCCAGCAGAGAGAUCUGUGCUGGUGAUUUUCGUAAUUGCUCCACCACAUUAUACUCGCUUGCCUUAACUACGGCCAAAAACUCCUUAGCUUCUUCGUCGGUGACGGGCUUAGCAGACUGCGUAUUUGCGUGAGCAUAGGUUCGCCCAAAUCUCAUGACUAAACCCACAUCGAGGUCAUAAGACCAUGGUACCACUUUGUUACAUUCAUAUUUGUAAGGCUGGGGGAUUUCAAUGAUUAUAGCUGCUUCCGCUAUCGAUGCUUCGAUUAUAUCCUCCGGUGGGGUGGAAUCUUUCUUCUUCCUUUCUGCAUUUAGCGCGGCACAUUCCUCAUCCCAGUUGAUGAGGACUUGCGAUAUAGUGGAAACUAUGCCGGUAUGACCAACAUGUAUGAUUACUCCGGCUUCUAUCAUUCUUGAUACCCUUGCUUUCAUUGUCCCAAAAGGUGGUAUUUCGUCAUUCGAAUAAUACCCGGUUUCCACUAGCCCUUGAUAGAUGUCAACAAUAGGGGUACUAACAUUUCUGAUUUGACUAGCUUCAGAACCGAAUAUCGCAUUUACUUUGUCAGCAUGAUCAGGGAGCGGAUUGCUUUGGACAUUUGGCCUCGUCGUCUGGAAUGAGAAGGCUUUGGUAUCCAGCAGGUUCUGGAUCCGAUGUUUAAGGAUGAAGCAAUCAUCAGUUGAAUGGCCUAUUUCUCCCAUGUGGUAAUCGCAUUUUUUGGACGGGUCGUAGCUGGCGAAGCUUUCAGCAUUGGGUCGUCUUGGCUCAAUCGAGAGGAGAUUCUUGUUCCGGAGGAUUGCCAAAACCUGGGAAGGAGAUCCCGGAAGCGGAGUGAAUUGUCUUCGGUUGUUGUAGCGUUGAGGCUGACGGCUAUUGGUUUGUUGUUGGCCUGUGCUUGUCUGAACAGUCGGGAGGUGACCGGUAUUUGCGGUGUAGGUGGCAUUGACAUCGCUCAGGGGCUCUUUAUCCUUUUUCAUGCUGAAUCUUCUGCUGACAGGUGAAGGCUCGGUGAACCAGCCAUCUCUUAACCCUAUCUCUAUCUGCUCUCCCACUGGAAUGAGUUGAUUGAAUGAUUCAGCGAUCGUAGUCACCAUCCGGUUGCGGUAUUCAUAGGGGAGUGUUUUGAUGAACAUUUUUCUUAAUUCAAAGUCAGUCGGUUCGGGACUGAUCUGGGCGGCGAGAUUCCUCCACUUGAUAGCAUAUUCUUUGAAAGAUUCCUGCUUCUUCUUUUCCGCGCGAUCAAGAUCCUCACGAGAAGGGGUAAUGUCCACUAUGAAUUUGUACUGCUUGAGGAAUGCCUCGCUUGCUUCACUCCAUGUUUCGAUGAGGUUUAUGUUUUUCUUGAUGUACCACCUCAAAGCAGGACCUACUAGACUUGACUGGAACAACUGGAUCAUUAAAGGCACAUUAUUAACGUACUGGGUCAUUCGAACCAAGUACAUUUGCAAAUGAGCCCUUGGGCAGGUUGUGCCAUCGUAUUUCUCAAAUUCAGGCAUCUUAAACUUUUCGGGCAUUUUGACUUUGGAGUAGAUGGAGAGGUCUGUUGGAGUAGGAUCCUGUAGGCCUUGCAGUUGCUUUAGCCUUUCUUCAAGCUUCUCCAGACGCUUAUCAUGCUCGGUCUUAGACGAAAUGUUGGGUUUUACUUUCUCAACGAUGAUUUGGUGUGCGUUGUCCUCCAAUUCAGGCAUGCUAUCAUCGAUUUCUCUUCCUUGUUCUCCUCGGGUGGAUGAUUGUGGUAAUACUACUUCGAUUGAGGCUGGGGUAGGAGUCAAUUUGCCCUGAAUGGAAUCUACUUGCUUUGAGAGCUGUUGAAGCACAUUGAAGACCUGCUUCAAUUCUCUUUCCAUAAUCUCGACACGGCUUGGUACAUUUUCUUCAGCCAUCUAAGCUUUUGGAUUUGGUGAAUAUGGCUAUGUUGUGAUUACCUGCUAACACAGGAAAUGGAGAAAACGUAAAUAAAGGAAACACAUGGAACACUAGCUCAUGGCAAGGGUCGAGUCAUUCUUAUUUAUUAACAAGAGAUUUAUACAAUGCCAAAAGGAUUUUUGACAUAAGUCAGGACGACCCUAGACAUUCACAUUAAAACACACAUCAAAAAGCCACAACGUCCAUUUUUAUAUGCGAUGGGAAGUCCCGAUCUUGCGACGCCGUUUGCUCUUUUGAGAUAACUUUGAUAUGCAACUCUUGCUGGUCUCCAAACUUUCUUCAAGAGACUUGAUCAUUUCUUGCUUGGUAAGUUUGCUGCUUACAUCAGGGAUUACCGGCUGCAACUCCUCAAGAAUCCCAUGGUUGAGGAUGUAAAAGGUGGAUGCAUGAUGGGCUUUUUCCUGUCCCUUCAAUCUUCUGGGUACGAUAAUCCUCUCUGGGUGGCAUCUAUCCCAUGCAUUCUGAAUUAUGUUGAUUUCCUCUGAGUAGUCAUAACCGGUGGGGUUGAAAGAAACCCGAAACAAUCCUGUCUUGAGUGGUGGCGGGACUUCUUGAAGGAUCCUUUACUGGCGAGCUACCCUAUAUGGAUAGUAUGAGGUAGCUCCGGAGAGGCCCAGCAGUGGGAUGGGAUCGUAAUAAUCAAGCGCGAAACGUGCCUCGCUCGCAAGGAACCACUUAGUUCGCCAUAUGAAUGUCUCUGGGACUGGGUUUUUUAAUAAUUUAAUCCAUCGAGAAUAUUCUUCAUUGGGAGAAUAUUUCUCCAAGCUUUGGAAUUUUUGCAGUGGUGCUUGAACUCAUUGAUUUCAAAUAUUUGCAUGAGGUGCCCAAAUCUUUUGAUAUGAGAAAAGAACCACAUUUGUAAAAUUUCUGGGGCAGCUCUCAUGAUCUUUUCUUUUCGAUCUUUGAAACGAUUAAGGGAUAAAAAUGUUUCGGCUAAAACCAUGUUUACAUAUCCCGCUCCAAAAGUGAUUUGAUUUAUCCCCACGAUUGAAGGAUUUAUGGCAUUCUUUCUAUGGGGAAAGAUAAUAAAUCCAAAGAACGCCAAAAGGAAGAUCUUGGUUUUUUGGGACAUUGACUGUUUUUCAAAGCAUUCGGUUAAGGAUGAUAGCGGGAAAGCAUUGUUGUUAGUUCUAACAAUUUCUCUUACUGAAUGAUUUUUUAAAAAACGUGAUAGACUGACUAUGGGGUCAAUGCCAAUUUGUGGCUUAGCAAGCUCUGCUCCCAAGGGCAUUCCUAUGGCGAGACUAUAUUCCUCCAAAGUGGGAGUUAGUUCAAAUUUGCCAAACACGAAAGUGGAUGUUUCCGGACACCAGAAAUGUGGCAAGGCUUGCAUGAUCCCAGAGUGAAUAUUGAUUUGGAGCAAUGGGAGGAGAUGACCAAUCCUCAUUUUGACACGCUCUUGGCCGAGCUGAUCUAACUGAUUCCACUACCUGAGGAGCUCUUUCUUUGGGGCAGGAAUGAACUUGAUAUCGAUUCUUCCCAUCGCAUUAAAAAAAGAGGCUACACAACCUGACCCUAUUUUGCCAUGAGCCAUAAAAGAUUAAGUAAAAGUAAAUAAAUUACUUUGCUUCUAAAUAAAAUGGCAAGGGCAAGGACAUACAGAUGGGAUGUGCAGCUCGAUUUCUAACUCAAAAGGCUUGAUGAAAUUAAAAGGGUAUCCGCCCGUCGCAGUCUCGCGUUAGCAGUAUACCCCCUUAACCUCGGCUAAGAAAUUCGGGGAAAAGAAAGGCAACCUUUACAUCGCAGUCUCGCGUUCGAGGUCGUAUCUUUCUUAACACUAUCCUAAAAAUCCUAUGGCGGCCCAGGUCCGGCGGCCGGGUUGUGUGUGCCAUGUGUAGUGCUAAAAUAGUAAAGCAUGCACAAUAAUUUAUAAUCACAAAACAAUAUAUAAAAUUAUGAUAAAUUUCUAAACUUUUGACCUGCAUAAAAAAAAAAAAAAACCUAAGUCAGUAAAGAAUUUAAAUAAGACAAAAAUGGCCUAAGUCCUCACUUCCCCAGCGGAGUCGCCAAGCUGUCGCGACCUCUUUUUUUUUUGCGCCCGUGAUCGGGUACGGGCGCCUAAGGAGGCUAAUGGCUCGGCUGAAAUUAGUUAUGCCUGGACUCUCCCAAGUCCACCAAUUCGCAACUUAAUGGUUCAAGUUUUUAACUUGUAAAUCAAUUUUAAAACGGAGUCGCCACUAAUCAAUUUGGGGUGGGUCGAUUAGAAACCCAAGCAAAGUAUCGGGAGAAAUACUUGCUCCUGCGCAACCAGAGAAAUUAAGAUCGGGGACUUGAUUACACUAAUUAAUCACUAAUGCCCUUUCGGUACCUAAUCUUGUUUAAAUCCUUAGGCUUUUUAGAUGUUCGAGGGAUUUUCCAUGCAUUUUUAGGAGGAAAAACAUGUUUUAGUCUUUUUUCUAAUUUUUGGACACAAAAGGGAUUUUUUGGUAUUUUUGACAUUUUUUGGAAAAUAUGGAAUAUUUUUGAUUUUUUUGAUUUUUCGAAAAAUAAAAUAUUUUUAUCAUUUUUUUAUUAUUUUUCGAUUUUCUGGGAAUUAAAACAUUUUUAAUAUUUUUUGGAAAAUAAAAUAUUUUCUUUGGAUAUUUUUUUUUUAAAUUAAAAAUGCUUUUUUUUAAAUAUAUAUAUUUUGAAAAGAAAAUAUUUUUUGCUUUUUUUGAAAAUAAAUUAUUUAUUUAUUAUUAAAAUAUUAUAUUAAAAUAAAAACCGACCCGGGUCGGAUCCACGGGUUGUGCCCGACCCGGGCUGGCGACCCGAACGAGGACGGGCCCGACUCAGAUUUUUUCAUCUUUUUUCCCCCUUUUUUUUUUUUGAGCGAAGGGACCCAAGCCCACAACGAAAUUGGGCCCUUCCGCGUAAAACAAGCCCGUGCGCAAACGAGCCCAGCUGACCCAGGCCUACGAAAAUACCCGCCCGGCUUGGAAACCGGGCCAGUCCCAGUCCGAGCGACUAAAACCCUAGGGGAACCGGGUCAUCCGCCCGACCCGAUUCCGCUCCACUUCGCGACUUCCUCUCUCUCUCUCUCAACUCGCGGCGCUGAAGGAAGGGCUGGGGCGGCGGCUUGUAGUGAUGACGACGGUGACGCAGAGGACGGCGGUGGCCGGUCGUUCGUCGAACUGGAGAGCGUGACUCAACAACAACAGCCGGGAUCUAUUUGGUCGGUCGGGACUAGGGUUUAGGGCUUCACGAACGGGGGGCCGACGGCAACGACGCGGUAAACAGGGACGGCGAGGGGUGGCGAGUGAAAACGACGACGGCCAAGAGGGGCUUGAUACCUGCUUAUGGAGAGGAUACGGCGCGGCGGCGUGGCUGGUUGGCGAGAUGGAAUCGUUGGUGGUGGAGGCUUCGUCGGUGGCGUCGAGGAGGGAUCACAGCAUGGUGGUGAACAAAUCCGAGCCUCCCCCUUCUGAUUUCCUUUCGCUCACCCCCCUUCUUCGCAGAUCUAACCCCUCGUGCUCGGAUCUCUCUCACUCUCGAUCAGAUCUCUCCCCCUCCGGCCAGAUCCGAGCCUCCACCGGCCGAAUCUGACCUCUUCGGACUCGCUCGCCGGCGGCCUCCCCCGAAGUCUCUCAGUGGGAGGUCGGCCUAGCUCGCGACCCGAUUCCUCUCUCGCUCGCCUUCUUCUCGUUCGUUCUUCAACCUCCUCCGAAGUCUCUCAGGAGGAAGCUUCCAGGCUCACGAUCUUCUGGCCUCUCCCUCCGUCAACGGUGGCCCCCCUCUAUUUAUAGGCGCGAGAGCGGCCGGUCGGCGAGGCCUCGACCCGCCGGUUGGACCGCCGUCCCAUCCACCAUCAUCACCUCCUCCGGUCAUGUCCCGUCGACGCCACCUGCUCCUCUGCUCCGCACGCGACUGCCGUCCGUCCACCCCCUUCCUCUCCAUCGCGCCCUCUGCGUGUGCGCUACAGAGGCACGAGGAAGAAGAAGAUGCGGUGGGGGCCGGGCUUGGCGGAAAUGGGCUGAGAGCCCAUGGAGGGGCUGCCCCUCUUUUGCUUUUUUUUUUUUUUUUGCUUUGUUUUUGUUGUUGGUUUUUUGGUUUAUUAUCCGAAAAUCAAACAAAAUAAUAAUAAAGUCUAAUCUAAUUUUAGGCGUCAACAUCAUCUAAAAUGACUUCAGUUAUGACUCAGAUUCAUAUGGACCCAAUUUCGAUCUUGCCCAUUUGGUGGGUUUAUGUCCCAGAAAUCACAAUGGAAGAUUAAAUAAAGAUUGGUACAAUGCAAGAGAAAGAGAUGGCUUUUUAUAAUGAAAGAUGAUUCUUUCGUGUUUUAUUUUUCCUAUUUGAGGAUUCUUUUUCAAUUUAUUUAAAGGUUCUCAAAGUGAAGAAAUGAUUACACAUGGCAAAGAGUAAAUAAAGAAGCAAAAAAUGAAUAAAUAUGUUGAGAACAACAUAGGUGUAAAUAAAACUAAUGUUUAUAAAGUUUCACCUAAAAAAUCCGACCAAGUGACUAGUCAAGUGGUUCAAGACUUGAUUUAUAAGUCAAAGGUCGCAAGUUUAAUUUCCCAAUCUAUUAUCCAUUUUGGGAUAAUUAUGCGAAUAACUUGGUGGAAUUAAUUUGAACAAUAUCUUAUGGCCAACAAAUUCACCCGUUUGGGGUCAAAGAUUGUUGUGGGUUGGAGAAACUCCAAAUAGAAUUUCUAGCAAAAACAUUUGAGUUGCCGUUGAUGCCCCUCGAUGAAGGGUUGUGACUCCACUUUGACGAAUUUCCACUUCCACCAUGAAGUUGAGACAAUUUCCUUCAUUCGCAAUAGCAUAAUUAACAACAAUCUUUUUCGACAAUAACAAUAAUAAUAGACAAUUUCAUCUCCAUACUGGAAAAAAAGGCAAAUAUAUGGUGGAGUAGUCAGCACUAAGCAUUUGACCCUUGAGAUUUCAUUUGCUUCCAAUUAUAUAAACACAAAAUCCUUUUCUUCUCUCGAAUAAGUAUAAACUUAUUUGGUAUUUCAGCACACGAAGUUACAAUUGAUGCGGAAUUGCAACAAUCAAGUCAUAACGAUGAAUUAAAUGUUGAUGAUAAGCUUUUAUAGAGGAUGAUAGUGUGAGACGGUUGAAUAAAACACAUAUUUUGUAGGUAUUGUGGCUCGAAGGCAAUUUUAGUACAAAGAAAGGUGGUGUGUCCCUUGUUUUUAAUUAGCGGAGUGUAGGAUUUGGGAGACUUUUUUUUGUUCAAAAAAUAAUUUUGGAUUCUUUGAGGUCAAGCAUAAUCAAAGGACGUGUUUAUUUUUAUUUUUUCUAGUGAUUAUGUAGAUGUUGAAGAUGAUCAGAGGACACACUGUACAACCUAUGCGCAUUGAGGAGAGGCCCAGAGAUGCAAACAAUCUAAUAUUGUCUCUAAUAAUCCGUCCAUUAGUAGUGAAGGUGGAUUUUGAUGGUACAAAACGUUUGAUAGAGUGAGCUUGUCAUGUUCCACUGUAGAAAGAACAGGAAAACUACUUUGGCCUUCCAUUACAGUAGAAGGUCGACAUUCUCUUCCUCGAAUUUUUCAAAUGUCGUUCCUAUCAUCCUUGCCGAGAUAUUCAUUCACCUCACCAGCAAUUGGCACCGAAGUGCUUGAGGCCUACCCUUCUUUUUUGGGGCACAUGUGGCCCAAGAGCACGGGUCCGAAGUUGCACGGCCCGUUGGCCAUCCUAGCUAAAAUCUAUCUGGGCUCAUGUAUAGAUAUUAGAACAUUUUCUGAUGGUCGAGGACCCUUCACUAAAAAGAAGUUGUUACCGACACCUUCAUAGAUAUUUUUGUAGCUCCAAUCCAUCUCAUUCGAACAUCAAAUCACAUUUCCCAUCUUGCAUUCACUUUAUGUCCGUCAUCAUUGUCUCCUGUCUUUCACCGAAAGCGUUAUCGAUAGCCUCGCAGAUAAUUUCGGAACCUUAACCUUAGCCCAUCGACAUCCGUAAAAUUUCCCCUCUCGUAGUCACUCUGUGUCCUUUUUAUCCUCCACCGAAAAUUGUUGGUGACAGCUUCGUUGACGUUUUAAGAGCCUCGACCAAUCUUUUUGAGACAUCUAUCCACAAUUCGCAUCUCCCCAUUCAAUCCGUGUCCUCUCUGUCUUCUAUCCUUUCACGGUAAUUCAGAUAUCUGUUACAUGUCCCAUCUCGAAACGAACAAGAGUGCAGAAAAUGCAGUAUGUUAGGGGCCCCACUGAACUUGUCUUUUAUGGGAAGAAGGAGCUCAUUUUGCAUUUCCCCUCUCUUUCCCCUCACUUUCCGGGGGAAAAAAUCUUGCGGGCCCCCACAGGAAAAUCUUUCUCUACGGUUCGCUUCGUAUUCCUUGAAUCUUUGUUUUCCUCGCUUCUUUUCACCCAAUUCCUGAAACCCGCUUCAUUCUACGAAAUGGCUCCAGUCGGAUUUAUAUAUAUGGGUCUUGCUCUCAAAAGAAAAAUCAUGGCAGCAAACAUUUGGAGUGGCUCCUUGUCCUUAAACAACAUCUUUCGCCCGAUGAGAAACUCGAAAUGUAAGAAUUAUCCCACAAGUGUUGAUGUCCUUGUUAAUAAUAAUAUGUAUUGACUUAACUACUAUAAUUGCAUGAGUAGACGGUCCUCAAAGAAACGUCAAUAACAUUGGUAAGCUUCUAAAUUCAAAUUAUGUUUUGCACUCGGCAUUAUAGCCUGUCGUUUUUUUUUUCCUAGCCCAUCAAGCCAUACUAAGAAUGAAGUAAAGAAGAGAUGGAGAUGGUUUGCACAAAGAAAAAAGUAGAUGAACAAGACGACGUCUUCGUCCUCAGCAAUGGUGCAUAGAGAUAUUGUGUAGAGGAGCGAGAGGUUCUUUUAAGUUCUUUCGUUGAUCGAUAUCUUGCAAUUAUUUAUCUUAUAUCAUCUAUUUUUAAAUAUUGAAAUUGAAUAUCAUGGCUACAUAUGGAAUAUGUACCCUUUUAACUAGAGAUUCUUGUUAGGUCCAUAGUUGAUAGAAUAACAACUCCAAUUGUGACACUAAAACAAUUAUACGUGCAUCAUGAUUAUUUGAUUAUGUUGGGUUAUUUAAAUUUUUUGGUCAUAUUUUUAAGUAUGUUUUCCCAUCAUUUAAAGCAGUUUUUGCUUUGGGUUAUCAACUGAAUAUGUUUUUUUUUUUUUGGUAGGAUAAUCAAUCGAAUUGAGAAGUCGUUUUUUUCAGAAUAUUUAUUGUUGUCAUUCGUAAAACAAUUUGUGCAUUGGGACCAAAUAUGUAAUCAUAUAUGGUUAUGCACAUAUUAAGUCGAAGCUAGAUGGGACAAAGUUUAGAGAGAGAGAGGAUAGCACAAUGGAAUUGGGUCCCCUGGCGUGAGGUUGAAAAUGCAAGAAGCUUUAAUAAUUGCAUCCCGUUCCACAAUGUAUAAAGUCAUAUAUGCAUCGCGAGGUUGACCUAACACUAACCUUCAAUAAUUGCAACGUGAUCCACGAUGGCAAAAAAACAACUUAACUCCAAGCCGAUUAAACUCUUAACCUCGCUUUGUUCUGUCUUUCUCCCUCCUCCUCCUCCUCCUCUGCAUUUUAGAGAGAGAGAGAGAGAGAGAGAGAGAGAUAGCAGUAGUAGCAUCAAAGGAACGACUGUGGACACGUGUGGUUGGUACUUGUUAGGGAAGGAGAGAGACGCAAGGAUUUGGAGUUUGUAGAUAAUUGGAAAGACGGUCAUUGAAUUGUUAACGAGGUGUAGUCAAUCAAUGCAAUCGUCCGGUUUUCUUUAAAAAUAUUUAAAGUGAGGUUUUGAGAAAUAAGUGAUGAGUAUAAUUAGUAAUUUCAAUACAAAAAAAGAAACAUGAAAAGGUGUCUGUCAUGGACCUUCAAUUUCUCUCAAUGGAGUUGUGCAUGUAGCUCAAAGCCUAUGCAUGUUCACAAGAUUAACAAAUUGUCGUUUUUUAAAUUUUAAUGAAGUGCCUAGAAGCAUUCAACAUAUCUCCAUCAAACGUGGCACUUCUUCCAUUUCAUACACAUCGGAUAAUUAUCGAAGAUUAAUAGUUUUUAUUACUACAUAAAUUUACCAUUUAUAUUAUUAUCGUUUGAAAAUGGGCAAGUUGCCACGCUCGAUUUUUUCAUCUCGAAUUCUCUUCGAAGUUAAUUUUGGUAGCUUAACGGUCUACACUUGGGAGCUGAGCCCCCCUUCCCUUUUUUUCCCUUUAAUUCUUUGGAAGGUUUGGUGAGUUUUUUUUCUCUACUAUAAACUAUUAGUUAUUUAAAUUAUAACCUUAAUCUCACAUUAUUCAUAUUUUUUCAUGUGAAAAUAGAAUCAAGAUGUCGGGAAUGAGAAACUACUUUAUUAAACUUCACAUACUAAAAUGAUAAGGUAUGAUCAACUAAAAUCUAAUGAUAAAAAGUUUCGGUCACCAGCUUGGAAGAAUUUAUGGUUUGAUGACUGCAGCAUAAUCGGCCUAAAUAUUAAGAUUGAUAGGGAAACUGAGCACGACUCUCGUGGCUCUUAUCUUAUUACGUUUUGUCAAAUAAAUUGGGUGCUAUUAGAGACACAAAUGCCUAUCUUCUCCAUGAUUGAUGUAGGGGGCUGAAUAUUUUCCUAUACUUUUCACAAGUCAAUUGUCGUACAGAGCAUCUAAGCAAAAGAAAGAUGGGACAAUUCGGUGGAGUUGGGUUCCUCGGUGAUUGGCUGAGUAGCCUUCACGUGCAUGAAGCCGUACUGCCCAUGCGCACCACUAGGUUGACAUAACACGCAACUUUAAUAAUUGCCAAGCCACCGAUGAUGACCAGGCAGCAACUUCAUCUCCACCCUGGUUAACUCUUAACAUCACUUUGUUCAAUCUUCCUCCUCCUCUGCGUUUUAGAGAGAGAGAGAGAGACAGUGCACCGUCCGAACUGGCAUUGCCCAUUGGCUAUCCUAAUUAAAAUCCAUUCGGGUUCAUGUACCAUUUUCUGAUGGUCGAGAAUCCUCCACUUAAAAAAAUGUUGCCGACAGCUUCAUAGAUAUGAUAUUUUAGGGACUUCAGCCCAUCCCAUUCGAACAUCCAUCACAUUUCCCAUCUCGUGUUUGACUUUAUGUCCGUCCUUCACAGUCUUCUUUCACCGAAAGUGUUGCCGACAGCUUCGUAGAUAAUUUGGAAAGUCAACCCAUCAAUUCGGACAUCUGUAAAGUUUCCCAUCUGGCAGUCACUCUGCGUCCUUUCUAUCCUUCACCAAAAAUUGUGGGUGACAACUUCGUUGACGUUUUAUGAGCCUCUUCCAAUCUUAUUCAGACAUCUAUCCACAUUUCCCAUCUCCCGAUUCAAUCCGUGUCCAUAUUGUCUUCUAUCCUUCACCAUAACUCGGACAUCUGUCCCCUGUCGCAUCUCCAAAUGACCAAGAGUCCAGAAAAUGCAAACAUGUAAUGGGCCCACUGAGCUCGUCAUUUGAGGAAAAGAAAGAGCCCCAUUUUGCGUUUCCCACUAUUUUCUCCCCACUUUCCGAAGGAAAAUAUGUUGCGGGCCCCCACAGGAAAAUCUUUCUCUACCGUUCUCUUCGUAUUCCUUGAAUCUUUUAUUUUCCUCACUUCUUUUCACCCAAUUCCUGAAACCCGCUUCAUUCUACAGAAUGGCUUCAUUUGAUUAUAUACAUACGGGUCUUGCUCUCAAAAGAAAAAUCAAGGCAGCAAACUUUCGGAGUGGCUCCUCGUCCGUAAACAACAUCUUCCGUUUGAUGGGAAACUCAAGAUGUAAGACUUCUCUCACAAGUGUCGAUAUCCUCAUUAAUAAUAAUAAUAAUAAUAAUAAUAUGUAUAGACUCAGCUAUAAUUACAUUAAUAGAUGUUACUCAACAAAAUGUCAAUAAUAUCAUCAAACUUCUCAACUCAUAUUAUCUUUUGCACUCUGCAUUUAAAAAUGAAGUAAAGAUGAGAUGUAAAUGGUUUACACAAAGAAAAAAAGUGGAUGAACAAGGCGACGUAUUUAUCUCAGCAAUGGUGCAUGCAGAUGUUUUACAUAGGAGACAAAGGUUCUUUUCAUUUCUUUCGUUGAUCAAUAUCUUGUAAUUUUUUUUUUAUCUUUUAUUAUCUGUUUUUCCAUAUAGAAAUUGAAUAUCAUGGCUACACAUGGAAUAUAUAAAUUUUUAACUAGAAAUUUACUUAGGUCCAUAGAAUAACAAAUCCUACUACGAGACUAAAAUAACUUUACAUGCAUGAUGAUUAUUUGAUUAUAUCGGGUUAUUUAAAUUUGUUUGUCAUAUUUAUAAAUAUGUUUUCCCGUUGUUUAAAGCAAUUUUUGUUGUAUAAAGCAGUUUUUGUUUUGGGUGAUCGAUCAAAUGUGUUUUUUUUUUUGGUGAGGAUGAUUGACCCAAUUAAGAGGUUGGUUUCUUUAGAAUAUUUGUCGGUCUUGUCCAUAAAACGAUUUGUACGAAUUUGGGACCAAACGUUUAAUCAUAUAUGGCUUUGCACAAAUUAAGUUGAAGCUAGUGGGACAACGUUUAAAUUGAUAGAGAGAGAGGAUAGUACGGUGGAGUGGGGUCCCUCGGCGUGGGGUUCAAAAAGCAUGAAGCUUUAAUAAUUGCAACACGAUCCACAAUGUAUCAAGACAUACUGUCCAUCUGCAUCACGAGGUUGACAUGACACCCCAGUUAAAUUCUUAACAUCACUUUGCUUUGUCCUCCUCCGUUUUAGAGAGAGAGCGCGCGCGCAAGGAGCAAUGAUCGUGGAGGUGUGUGGUCAGUACAUAUUAGGGAAGGAGAGAGACUCCCAAGGAUUUGGAUUUUACAGAGAACUGGAAAGAGGGUCAUUAAAUUGCUAACGAGGUAUGAUAAAUCAAUGGAAUCGGGUUUUCUUUAGGACUAUUAAAGUGAGAUGUUGAGAAAUAAAUGAUGAGCAUAAUUAGCAAUUUCUAUACAAAAGAAAAAUGAAAAAAGGCAACUUUCAUGGACCUUCAAUUUCUCUUAAUGGAGUCGUGGAUGUAGCUCAAAGCCUAUGCAAGUUCACAAGAUUAAUAGAUUGGUGUUUCUUAGAUAUUAACGGAGUGCUUAGGCCUCUUUGAGCAUCUCACGAAUCUCCAUCAAAUGCGGCGAUCCCUCGAUUUUAUACAUAUCGGAUAAUUACUGAAGACAAACAAUUUUUAUUAAUAGAUUGGUUAUAAAUUAUCUUUUAUAUUACAUUCUUUUGAAAAGGGCAAGUUGCCACAUUUGAUUUUAUCAUCUCAGUUUCUAUUUGAAUGUUGGUUUUGGCAACUUAACGAUCUAAAUUUGGGAGUUGAGCCUCGUUCCUUUUAUAUAACAGUUCCUUGAGUAUCAUAAUUUUUUGUCAAUUAAAUGAGUGUCAUGACUUAAAAAUAUUUUUAUUUAAGUGUCAUGGCCUUCAAUUGCUCAUUUAAAGACUACAACUCCCAUCACUAUUGGGCAACGUCUUUGAAAAGGUUAUAAUGAUCAAGUGAAUAUUUUUUAGAGGUUUUAAAAUAUUUAAAUGAUCGGAAAAAAAAUUUAUAAUACUUAAAUAAGCGUCAUAUCUAGUGACCUUUUUUCAAAAUUAACCUUGUAUAGCUAGGGCAUUAUAGACUUCUACAUGCUAUGACAAUACAAUCGCGAAAGCACUGCAAGAUGCUUUUGCAUGAAAAUGAUACAAACUUUUAUGAAGAAGAAGGGACGGGAAGAGCGUUUUGGUCAAAAUUGGUGGUCUCCACGUGAUACGACAGUAGAAAGCAUUAUUGCACUCAGCGGACUCUAUCGUUGUGCAACUUUAUCAAAGCUGAUACUUAAAACUGCUCAUGAAACGACUGAAAUUGGAGUGCAUCAUCUGAAUCGGAUUCUGGACUCAUAGAGAUUGGGGCCUCGCCGCUGUUGACAGCUGGAGCUGAGCACGUAUGAAAUGAUUGAUGGACAAUGAUAGUCAUAGACAGCUACUUAAUUGUCGCAUUCUUAGAGCGAUGGGGUCCGAAGGCAAUUUUAGUCCAAAAAGAAAUGGUGGAGUGGAUUUUUUUCGAACCGUUAAAUUGAGGUUCUCCAUUGAGGUGCAUCAUCUGAAUCGGAAUCUGGACCAUAGCUCGGUCCCAAAUGGAGAUUGGUGCAUCGCUGCUGCAGUGCUGCUGAUUUCUAGAGCUGAGGUCAGAUGUGUUAAACGAUUAAGCAUUAAUCAAAUGGGAGAAAAUAUUUGGGGGUCCCGACUGCCAAGCCAGCGUGUACCCCGACCAAUGAGGAAGUGACGCGUGGCUCCACGAUGCGCUAGCUGCUCCACUGGUUUUCCUGCACAAAAUAUAUUAUUGUCCCUUUUCUGCUUAAGAAUUUACAGUCAUUAAUAGAUCUGAUGCCGCUUUAAAUUCUCUCCUCUCUAAUGGAGUAGGCCUGAAUGCAUUAAAGGAGCUUUGUCUCUCGUCAUUUCUUUCCUUCUCAAUUCAAAAUUUUGGGUGAGAAUUCUCUGGCCCAAAAGCACGUUGCUCCUCCGCCUUGCUUCGGCGCCGGUUCAUCUUCGCUCUCUGCCCCAAAGCUCGUUGCUUCUUCGGCCUGCGUUGUUGCAUUCCUUCUCCGCCCUCUGCUCCGGUGUUGUUUCCCUGCCCAAGACGGUGAGGAAUGUUCUUGCUGUAAGUCGCAAACUCCAAGCGACAAGAAGUUCCAGCUCUCUCCGAUUCGGCUUUGGAUCUGCUACGUUCGCAGCUCAUAACAGUGAGUUGAUUCUUUCCCUGAUUUUUUUACUCUUCUUUUCUUUUCUUUUUCUUUGCUGUUUUUGCCUCUUUUUAUUUGUUAAGUUUUAGUUUCUUUUGUUGGUGGGUGAUUGCACGAGCUUGGCUAUCGAGUCGGCAAUUUUGCCCGUGAGUGUCCGGUGUUGUGAUUUUUGGGAGGUUGGUUUGUCUAGGCUAGUGUCACGGGUCGAGAGAUUCCUUGGCCUCGGAAACGACCCGCGGGCGCCUAGCGAGCGGAAUUCGCCAGGCCAGCCCUUUCUUUAGCUGUUCCACGAACGAUACGGUGAAUGAUUCUUCGUACGAGAUCCUACCACGCCCAGCUUCGCUCGGGCGUCUAGUCCAUCGAGUAAGACAGCAGUUCUCUUUAGGCACAACAAAUGGUUUCGACCUGCCAUGGCCUCGUCAGGAGAGCGGCAUCAGCUCCCGACCAGUUUGUGCACGGGAGGCCUACCCCGUCUUCAGAGCUCCUAAGUGAUAUAAUCCUUCUAUCCUAGAACUCCUAGCACCAACCGUCCUGACGCCACUCCCACGGACCAGUUGUGUUCUACCCUUCUGCCUCACACUCUUUACCAAAUAACCCCAAGCGCCACUCACAAGUGUCACGAGUACGGGAGGAUUCACGGACCGUGACAUUCUCCCCCACUCAAUUCGCAACGCUCUCGUUGCGAUCUCUACUCUGUCGCUUCCUUGCGUAAAUUAACCAUUGACGUGCCACUUUUGGGAAUUCACAUCGAACGGUCACGCUCGCCCAACAAAACAGGUUUUGCUCCAUUGGUGGCCUCUUUUGAUCUCAGCCGCUCGGCCCUUCGGUCACCUGCGCUUUCCGGCAAGUGUGGCAUCUUUCGCCAACCGCAUCUUUUGGUAGCNNNNNNNNNNNNNNNNNNNNNNNNNNNNNNNNNNNNNNNNNNNNNNNNNNNNNNNNNNNNNNNNNNNNNNNNNNNNNNNNNNNNNNNNNNNNNNNNNNNNNNNNNNNNNNNNNNNNNNNNNNNNNNNNNNNNNNNNNNNNNNNNNNNNNNNNNNNNNNNUUGCCUCUUUUUAUUUGUUAAGUUUUAGUUUCUUUUGUUGGUGGGUGAUUGCACGAGCUUGGCUAUCGAGUCGGCAAUUUUGCCCGUGAGUGUCCGGUGUUGUGAUUUUUGGGAGGUUGGUUUGUCUAGGCUAGUGUCACGGGUCGAGAGAUUCCUUGGCCUCGGAAACGACCCGCGGGCGCCUAGCGAGCGGAAUUCGCCAGGCCAGCCCUUUCUUUAGCUGUUCCACGAACGAUACGGUGAAUGAUUCUUCGUACGAGAUCCUACCACGCCCAGCUUCGCUCGGGCGUCUAGUCCAUCGAGUAAGACAGCAGUUCUCUUUAGGCACAACAAAUGGUUUCGACCUGCCAUGGCCUCGUCAGGAGAGCGGCAUCAGCUCCCGACCAGUUUGUGCACGGGAGGCCUACCCCGUCUUCAGAGCUCCUAAGUGAUAUAAUCCUUCUAUCCUAGAACUCCUAGCACCAACCGUCCUGACGCCACUCCCACGGACCAGUUGUGUUCUACCCUUCUGCCUCACACUCUUUACCAAAUAACCCCAAGCGCCACUCACAAGUGUCACGAGUACGGGAGGAUUCACGGACCGUGACAUUCUCCCCCACUCAAUUCGCAACGCUCUCGUUGCGAUCUCUACUCUGUCGCUUCCUUGCGUAAAUUAACCAUUGACGUGCCACUUUUGGGAAUUCACAUCGAACGGUCACGCUCGCCCAACAAAACAGGUUUUGCUCCAUUGGUGGCCUCUUUUGAUCUCAGCCGCUCGGCCCUUCGGUCACCUGCGCUUUCCGGCAAGUGUGGCAUCUUUCGCCAACCGCAUCUUUUGGCAGCACCAUUUCAGCCUAAUUAGCAUCUUGACCCCAGCAAACCAAUGGAGGUUCUUUUUCUUGUUGAAAACGCGGCAGUAGACCUCUUCUUCGUAUUCACGAUCAAUCCGGGAACGUUAUCCCCAUUCAGCAAGGGUUCGGUUCUUCUCUAACUCGCAUUCCGCUCGACGAGAAGCCGACUCGUCCUAGCACCCAUCCACUAGGACUUAUCUGUUGAACGCAAAUUGCGCAACCCCAAGAUCUCCAUAACCAGAACAAGAACAUGCAUAAUUGAGUAGAAAGAUUAACGCACCUGUUUUAGGAUCCAUCGAACAUAAAGCGGAAACAUAAAAAGGAUUACCCACAUAUAUCAAGGGAAUCCACGCAUCAAGUCCUUCUCCUCUAUUGCCCUCCGUAUCACUGGCUCAAUGAGCCAAGAUCUCCAUAACCAGAACAAGAACAUGCAUAAUUGAGUAGAAAGAUUAACGCACCUGUUUUAGGAUCCAUCGAACAUAAAGCGGAAGCAUAAAAAGGAUUACCCACAUAUAUCAAGGGGAUCCACGCAUCAAGUCCUUCUCCUCUAUUGCCCUCCAUAUCACUGGCUCAAUGAGGCAGCCCCCCUCACGUUUAGCGUUAGGUAAACGCCCCUUAGGUGAGGAUACAUGUGAGAAUUAGGGUUAGAGGAGAGACUUGAGCACUAUUUAUAGAGUUUCCAGCCAGUCCCUCUCAUUACGGGCCAGGCUCAACUCGGCCCACACUAGCCAGCUCAUAUUAAACUAAUUAAGAAACCUUCUAUCUCACCUUAGAUCAACCCUGUUUUACGGUAACCGUAAAAACAGUAAAUUACAAUAUCAAUUAAUUUAGUCCACAUUUGGAAAAACUCUUACAUUCUCCCACUUGGACUAUAUUAAUUGAAAUCGUAUUGUAUGUGCGCACAUUUGGUCCAGAGAUAAUUCUUAAUAGUCAAUCCUAUCCCAUAAAGUCUUAAACACCGAAUCAUGGCGGUAACUGCAUGUAUACACACAAAGCCUUCCAUGGUCACGAAUGUUUUCAACUUUAUUGAUAUGGAUUCAAUAUGGUAGUGUGUCAAAUGGAUAACAUCUCUCAUAGAGAGAUCUCAUUUGUCAGUCACCAUUCUCUUACCUUAGGCGUCACAAAAAAACUUGUGCCACUAGAGAAUGCUUUAUGGUUCCAAUGAACCCACAUAUGUCUUGUCCUUAUGGUUAACCUUUAUUUAUGUAUCACAAGACAUAUGCACAAGGCUAAUAACCGGAUGCCCGGAUGCCCCUAGCCUUCACUCAAGGUCUAUACAAUCCCUUGAGACUUUAUCAAUAUGUAUUCAACAUAAUAACAACACAUUUAAAAUAUUUUAUUGAAUGCAAAAGUUGAUACAUAUCAAACCGUUACUAAGUGUAACGAACCACAGAUGUGAACUUUAUCAGAGUAAAGCUAAAAUAGCUCCCACUAAACAACAGUAUCCGAAGAUACUCCUAGGCCCAUGUUUACAAUAUGUUACUAAAAUAUACAUGGGCGUAGGCCUUUAGUUUGUGGAUCUGCAACCACAUCAUCUGUGAAAAUAUAUUAUAUCAUAAGUCACCUUUCUGUACCGUUUCUUUAUGGUAAAAAAUAUUUGACCACCAUAUAUUUAGACCCCUUGAGACCUCUGUAGUAAAUAAAUAAUACUACAAAUUUGUUAUCUCAAUACAACCGUAUGGGUCUAUCCAUAAAGUUAAAAUAAUUAACUCCUUUCAUGGGGUUCUGGAGCCUAAAAACCCAAGUAACAGCUUAAAAGAAUGUUACUAACACUGCUUACAUAGUAGAAGAUGACAUAAAACUUUAUUUACUGCACUUACUGCUAACAUAAAUAUGUAUUCUGUUAUUGAGCGCAUGUCAUCAGAACAGCCAGCAAAGUUUACAUCUAAAUACUCUACUAACUGCAAGAAUUGAACAUGUCUAUAAAUUAGCAUAUAAUCUCUUGUCUUCUUUAAGUACCUUAAAACCUUCUUGACAGCAACCCAGUGAUCAUGUCCUGGAUUUGACCGAUAUCUGCCUAGAAGUCCCGUCACAAAGACAACAUUUAGUCUAGUCAAAUUCGAGCAUACAUUAUACUUUUAAGUGCACUUACACAAGGUACUCUCUUUAAUUAGAUUUUCUCAAUAUUUAAAUAAGGACAAUGUGAUAGAUUCAGUCCAUCACCCUUAACAACAGGAGCAAUUCCUGGCUUGCAAUGAUGUAUAUUUAAUAUUUUCAAAAUAUGAUAAGCAAAUGUCAUCCAAGAAAAUCUAAUAUAAAAUCCGAUAUCUAUGACAAGAACAAUUCUUAAAGACCUUAGUGUAAAAGAUGCAUCAAGGUCACUACUUGUAAACAAAAAUCAUGUACAUAAAGUAUGAGAAAAAAUAAAUUUCCUCCCACUGACCUUGCAGUAUAUUGAAUUACUUUGUUCCCAAUUGAACAAAAUAACAACACUAUGAAACUUUAAUAAUAUUGUAUGGAAACUUGCUUAAGACCAUGAAUUAGAACUUUUCAGUCUAUACACAAGUUUACUUAAAUCUGCUACAAAAUCAUCCAGUUGCACAAUAUAGAUUUUGUAUCUAUUUGGCGUAACUUUAUAUCAAAAUAAAUUAUUAAUGCCACGUUCACUCUGAAAGAAAAUUUAAAGAAAUAAUUAUUUCUUCACUAUAAACAAUCCACCCCUCUUUCAGAGUUAAAACGUUAGUUACAAAUAUGGCUUUAAAUUCCACAAUCUUUGUUUGAAAUUCUUUUAAUUUUGUACGCCAAUUUGCAACUAAUAAACUUGUGAUCUUUAGACAAGUUAGUAAGUUUCCAAACAUGUUUCAUAGAUUGUAUAUCGCAUUUUAUGGCAUCUAAUCACAUACUUAAUUGAGAAUAAGAAACGACAUUUAUAAAUAUGUCAUUACAUCAACCAUAUAGUGGAUAUUGUAAUCAUGCUCUCACAAAUAGACUAUAUAGUCUGAUGGUAUAACUGAUCGUCUUUCCUUAACAAAUCUCAUUAAUAAAGUUGCAACCACUUCAUUCUGCACUUGAGAGAUUUAAGAAAUUUCAUUAUAAACUAUAUCAAAAAUAGUACCUUGAACCUCCACAAGUUUAGUCUAUGGUACAGGAGAUUCCAUAAUUAUCUGUAUAGGUAAAGACAAAAACAUAGUAACAUCCAUCAUACUAUUAUCUUUUAAUAGUCUGAGAGCAAUUAUCCUCUACAAUUACGUCAAUUUUUAAAAACUUUAGAGUAUGUGAUUCCAUAAUUCUUGUACUUUCUUUAGGGUCAUAAAAUCAAUACCCCUUUUAUAUAUGAAAAAAUUGAUUUCAUAAUAUCAGCCCACAAAAGACCAGAUAAAUUAGUCUUACUAAUCAUACUCAUCACCAUGUUCAAUAUGGUGCAUUUAUGCCUUUUGACCAAAUCUUUUUGUCAGAAUUUUCAGGUAUAGUAAUUAAAUUACCACCCCAGAAUCUACCAAGUAUUUGACAAAUGACCCUUUAAGUUAUUUCGCAUUGUCAUACUUGCCAAAAUACUCAUAGCCACUGUUAAACCUGACAACUUUUUAAGACCUUUACGAGAUGUAUAUGUCAUUAGGACUUAAACACAACUUUUGCAUAUGUGUCCUAAUUUCAAUAUCAGACAAUACAUAAUUUCAAGCAACUAAGGCUUCCAUCAUCUUAUAGCAGUGCAGUCCGUAGGCAAACCUCUUUUCAAGUGUUCAAGAAUGGAACGCUUCAUGGACAGUAAGCAAAUUCAAUCAUAUGUCCACAACUUAAAAUUUGAAGCAGUAAAAACCUUAAUGGUGACGGAAUUACCAUUUACAGAAAAGGUGACUGAAAAACAAGCAGUAUAUAAUUAGCAUCAUGUGAGCAUUGUGUAACUUGACGUACAAGUACACAUCCAGAGAGUUACAUGCAAAAUCAUAUAAUCACCUUUGGGCAGAAUACAUGAUAUGCAAUUGUACACUCCCAACAUGAUAAGGGUUAUGAGAAUAUAUUCCAAUCUUCGUGAAUUCAUCACCUUUGGGCAUAUGAACCAUUAGGAUCAGUCACUCCUCCACCACACUAUCAUGUAUGCCUCCAUGAACUAAUACACAAUCACCUCCUUUGGGAGUAUAACUAUGCAUUAGACCAGGAAACAUCCCAAUCAUCAUACGAGACCGAAAUUUCUCAAACCCAAUCAAGCGUGUCACUUUGGCGGUCACUACUCAAUUGAAUCAUUGAAAUUCUCUCAUACCAAGGAUAUAAACUUUACUCAUCACAUACACCAUAUAUAUGUGAUUUUAACUUUAGUGAUAGGGGCAUCAUAUCACCAAAAUCACAUAUCAUGCUAAUUACAUUGCUUUAUUCAUUAAUAUAUAUAUAGCGAACCUGAAAGUCAGAUUCCAAUGAGAUCAUUGAUCACAGUAAUACAAGAAAUUUCUCAUAACAGAUAAUAAAACACAUCUUAUGCACCCCAAUUACAUAUUACUAGAACAACAUAAAAAGAAUUAUGAUCUAUAAUAUCUCUCACAAAUUAACAUCAAUAGUAAUAUAUGGUACACCAAAUUGACAAGCUUGACAGCCGAUCCAUUAUCACUCAUGAGUUCAUAAGGUAAAAUUGACUCCAAGGCCAACAACUGAUUUAUUAAUCAAUUUUAGGUAACAAAUAUCAUUACUUCACCCAGUGGCCUAUUAAUUGAGUCAAACCAGAGAACCAAAUAUCUAAAAUUUAAUAGUAGAUACUAUUGCUCUGCAUAAAUGUUGUCAUACUCCUUAACCAUAAAAAAUAUUCAACUUGAUAGACAUUAACAAGUGACCAGAUGAGUUCAUGUACAAUAUGCAGUAACUUAAUUGACAUGCAUUACCCACAUUCAGCAGAUGUGUUAAUCAGUACAUCAGUUUGGUCACGAGUCCUUAAGUCGUCUAUCAUUCAAAAAUUACCAGUGUGUAAAGGAGUAUACUUGAGUAACAAAAGUUUCAUAAUCUUUAUUGUUUCUCAUCAGCUCAAUACAUAGCUCAAAUACAAUCUCAUAUGAAUUGUAUCUCAUUAAGCUAGCUUCAGUUCACAAUAAAGUUUGAUUUUUAUUGAUGAAUCACACCUUUUAUUAUGUAAUAACAUACUAGUAACCCAUCACUUGUAUUUCCAAAAUCACAGAAAAUACAAGAAAAAUACGCAAAAAUACACUAAAAAUACACGUAUUUAGGGUUCCAUAUGCAAUUUCACAUCAAUAAAACCAUCAAAAAUAUAAAAUAAAUAUACCACAAGAUAGGAAAUCACCAUACGAGUCCAACGCCACCAACCACGCGCCAAGAUAAGCUUCCACGUGCCUGCACGCGCCGUCUGAGUGCGCGGCGCGUGGGGCUCACGCGCAGCGUGCGUUCGACGCCUAGGCGGCGCGUGGCCGCGCGUGGGGGCGCGUGCGUCAUCCCCCAGCGACGCGCCGCCGACCCUCUUGCUCGUCUCGUCUCCCCCAAUCCAAAUUUGUGAUUUAAUUUAAUUUUCAUUGAACAAAAAAUCUCGAAAAUCACAAAUUAGGGCAAGAUCAAUACCAAUUAGGGCUAAUCCAUACAAAUUAGGGUAGAUCUGUACAAAUUAGGGCAAAACCAAUUGUGUUCGAGUUCUAGGGUUAUGGUUGCUAUGAUACCACAUGUUGAACGCAAAUUGCGCAACCCCAAGAUCUCCAUAACCAGAACAAGAACAUGCAUAAUUGAGUAGAAAGAUUAACGCACCUGUUUUAGGAUCCAUCGAACAUAAAGCGGAAGCAUAAAAAAGAUUACCCACAUAUAUCAAGGGAAUCCACGCAUCAAGUCCUUCUCCUCUAUUGCCCUCCGUAUCACUGGCUCAAUGAGCCAAGAUCUCCAUAACCAGAACAAGAACAUGCAUAAUUGAGUAGAAAGAUUAACGCACCUGUUUUAGGAUCCAUCGAACAUAAAGCGGAAGCAUAAAAAGGAUUACCCACAUAUAUCAAGGGGAUCCACGCAUCAAGUCCUUCUCCUCUAUUGCCCUCCAUAUCACUGGCUCAAUGAGGUGGCCCCCCUCACGUUUAGCGUUAGGUAAACGCCCCUUAGGUGAGGAUACAUGUGAGAAUUAGGGUUAGAGGAGAGACUUGAGCACUAUUUAUAGAGUUUCCAGCCAGUCUCUCUCAUUACGGGCCAGGCUCAACUCGGCCCACACUAGCCAGCCCAUAUUAAACUAAUUAAGAAACCUUCUAUCUCACCUUAGACCAACCAUGUUUUAUGGUAACCGUAAAAACAGUAAAUUACAAUAUCAAUUAAUUUAGUCCAUAUUAGGAAAAACUCUUACAUUAUCUGCUUGACCCGCACUUGAGUGAGGAGUCCGAUUCUCCGACUUGCUCACUCGCCUACUAGAGGGAUUCCUGCUUUGAUACCACUUGUCACGAGUCGAGAGAUUCCUUGGCCUCGGAAACGACCCGUGGGCGCCUAGCGAGCGGAAUUCGCCAGGCCAGCCCUUUCUUUAGCUGUUCCAUGAACGAUACGGUGAAUGAUUCUUCGUACGAGAUCCUACCACGCCCAGCUUCGCUCGGGCGUCUAGUCCAUCGAGUAAGACAGCAGUUCUCUUUAGGCACAACAAUUGGUUUCGACCUGCCAUGGCCUCGUCAGGAGAGCGGCAUCAGCUCCCGACCAGUUUAUGCACGGGAGGCCUACCCCGUCUUCAGAGCUCCUAAGUGAUAUAAUCCUUCUAUCCUAGAACUCCUAGCACCAACCGUCCGGACGCUACUCCUAAGGACCAGUUGUGUUCUACCCUUCUGCCUCACACUCUUCACCAGAUAACCCCAAGCGCCACUCACAAGUGUCACGAGUACGGGAGGAUUCACGGACCGUGACACUAGCACUGAGUUUCAGUCCGAGGCAAAACGAAUGGUUGGAAGUUUCCGGGAAACCGGGGAGAUUAGCAGAAAACGAAUGCUUAGUAAUAUUGAUGACGAUGUGGAAGUAUUUCGUUGAAACGAAUAGUCGGCACUUGUCUGAUUUUUCUAUUGUUGGCUUUUGUCAUCAAGUAUUUCGGUGGAAGUAAUUCGAUUGGGGAGAAUGGCGGAUAUUGUUCCGCCUCCUCGGCAUAUAUACAUUCUUAACUCUUGUUUCUCCGCAGAGAAGGGAAGAAAACCAGAAAGAAUUCAAAAAGGGGGAAAAUGGCGGAAUUCGUUCUGGGCGCAGUUUCCAUAGUGUCAGGGUACCUGGUGGCUCCGGUCAAUCGUCUUUGCGGCUAUGUGAUAUCCUACGAAGGUGACGUUCGCAAACUUAAGGCCAAAGUUGCGGAGUUGGGCAACGCGAGGCAAAACGUGCAGGAUUCCAUCAAGGAUGCUCAAAACAACGUGAAGCCUAUCAAAGCCCAUGUCAAUAAAUGGAUGGAAGAUGUAGAGAAGGACACCGGGGAGGCGCACCGUGUUCUGGAUGACGACGAAAGAGCUAAGAAAACUUGCUUCUACAGGUGGCUUCCCAAGGUGCGAUAUCGUCUUGGCAGGGAGGCGAGGAGGAAAACCGAAGACAUCCAGGGACUCAUUGAUCGGAAACCAUCUGGGGAGGUCUACGACGAUCCUCCUCCAGGACUCGUUGAUGGUACUUCCGACGUGAUUUCAUGGGCCGGUGAUCGAGGCGACACUACCUUUGAUUCUCGAGCUUCCAUCUUAGAGGACAUAAUGAAUACUCUGUAUGACGAGGAGCACAAAGUGAUUGGGGUCUACGGGCCUGGUGGCGUGGGGAAGACUACGCUGUUGAAGGAAGUUGAGAAGAAACUCAGAGAAGCGGGGAGACCGUUCCGCAUGAUCGUCAAAGUGAGAGUUUCGCAGAUUCCAGACUUGAAUAAUAUCAGAGACCAGAUCGCUGACGCCUUGGGUCUGGAUCUGAAAGACAAGCAAAGCCCAGAGGGAAAAGCAGAUGUUCUGUCAGAGAGAUUGAAGAGUAAUCCGAAUGAGAAGGUUCUCAUAAUAUUUGACAACCUAUGGGUAAAACUUGAAUUGGAGGCGGUUGGAGUUCCUUGGGGAGACGUGAGCAGCAAAUGCAAGUUGUUGCUCACGUCAAGAUUUAAAAAUGUGGUGGAGCAACAAAUGGGUGCCGAUCAAACAUUUCUUCUUCAAGGUUUAACGGACGGCGAAGCUUUCAAGCUAUUUGAAAACAAGGUCGGCGACAAGCUCAAAGACAAUGAGGAAUUGAAAUCAAUAGCGAAUCAAGUGGUCAAGAAGCUCGCAGGUUUGCCUCUUUUGAUUAACUCUGUUGCAACCACUUUGAAAUCUGGCGAUGAGUCCGCAUGGAGAAACGCGCUGAUAGAAAUAGAUGACUCAAAUAAAAUAAAAAAAGAAACGAUAGUGAAGUUGAGUUAUGGCCAUUUGAAGAGCGAGGACGCGAAGUACUUAUUCUUGCUCUGUGGUCUUAGUGGCGGCACCAUUCCAGUCGAACUUCUGUUGGUACUAGCCAUGGGGCUGGGCUUGUUUCAAAGAUUUAACAAGACGAUGCCAGAUUUAAGGGAUAGAUUGAAUAAUAUGCUCGAUGAACUCCGUUCCGCUUGUUUGUUGCUGGAGGGUGGCGAUGACAAGGACAAUGUGACCAUACAUGAUCUCUACAGCGAGGUGGUCGUCUCAACUCCAUUUCAAGAUCAGAAUUCCUUAAUGAUGAACAACAGUUAUUGCGCAUUGUCAAAGGAAGAACUUGAGAAAUGUUGGGCAAUAUGCCUAGAUGAUGAUGGUACAGAUAGGCUUGCUAAACUAAUGCCGUGUCAGUUUCCAAGCUUGAAGAUACUUAUGCUGUCUAUGCCAGAAGCUUGGGAAUUGCGAGAAUGUGUAGAAGAUUUAGGAGUUCCAUUUGAUGUGGAUUAUUGCUCGACACUACUAGAUUUCAAGGACAUGAAGGAGCUUCGAGUCCUAUGUCUUCGCUUCAUGCACAUCACCAAUUUUCCUCCCUCAAUCAAAAUCCUCGAGAACCUCCGGUCAUUAUAUUUAUACAAUUGCCAUGUGGAGGAUGUGACGAUUAUUGGCAAACUCAAAGCAUUGCAGAGUCUCAGCUUCACAAGGUCGACAAUUUCUAGGCUACCUAAAGAAAUGGGGGAACUUACAAAUUUGAGAUUGUUGAAUCUAACCAAUUGCAAAAUGCUUUGGAGAAUUGAGCCUGCUGUCCUAGAACGCUUAAUCAAAUUAGAAGAGUUACAUAUGAAGGGAAGCUUUGAUCAAUGGAUGGGCAAAAAUGAAAAACCAUCAGAAUCGUGUAAUGCUAGGCUUGCCGAGUUGAGGAGCAUGACAAAACUAAAUUCUCUGGAAAUAUCGAUUUGUAAUCCCAUCAUACUCUUGGAGGUUGAUGACCUGCCAUUUGAGAACUUGACUAGAUUUUGGAUCAACAUAGGAAAUGUUUACGGAAGGGAAUUUAAAUGCUUGAGGACCAUGAAGAUCAAAUUGGAAGGGCACGAUAGUAUUCUUUCAAAAACAUGGGUCCAGAAAACUCUCCAGAAAACUCAAUACUUGUGUUUGGUCGAAUUGGGAGAGUUCGAGAACGCUAACGGGUUGUGCAUUCAAGGAUUUCUGCAAUUGAAGCAUCUUGACAUUUGGAACAGCCCAUCAAUAAAGUAUAUUGCCAGUUCACCCAAUAGUGCUUUUUCGAUUUUAGAGUCUUUGUUCCUCAAUAAUCUUAUCAAUCUGGAGAAGAUAUGCCAUGGCCACAUCGCGGCAGAGUGCUUCAGCAAACUAAAAGCUAUGAGAGUCAUAGAGUGCAACCGAUUGGAAUACUUGUGGAGUCUUUCACAUACGCAAAAUCUUGUACAGUUAGAAAAGAUUAGAGUAUGGAAUUGUAACUCAAUGCAAGCCAUUGCAAGAAAAGAUGCAGUUCCUGCCGAUUGCGAAGUUGAGUUGCCUUACCUACGUUGUAUGUAUUUGGCUGACUUACCAAAUAUGAGGAGUUUUUGCCUAAGAGUUGAGAUGACUUCAGAAGGUACUCCAAUUCAGGUAAAUUCUUCAUUUUCUCCCCCAUGUUAGUUUGUCUUAUUGAGAGGGUAUAAGUUUAUUCAACAAUAGGUAGAGGGAAGCCUCUUUCUAUGACUGCUUUUUAUUUUAUUUUAUUUUAUUUUAUUCCCAAUUUUAGAUAAUUGCACUAAUUAUUUGAGCUCAAGGGUUUCUACUAUGACUAAUUUAUUACUCAUGUCACAUUUUUAACGAGUAGAAGAAAUAGUGUAUUGAAUGAAUGAACCUUCAAUGAAUGAACGAAAUUGAAUAUUUUCAAAAUGAAUAAAGCAACCUCUGGAGAUUAAAUCAACCGAAGGCAAACGAAGAGUCACAUAGCAAAGAAAGUCCACAUAAUUUGUGUCCCAACUUCAUGCAAGUUGGAACUGAUUCCAACAUAUCAUGCCAUCAUAACUGUGUCAACGUCAACUAGUUUGGGGAUUUUUCCUUCUCCAUUUUCUUAGGCUCAAUGGAAGAUCUUAAGCUUUCGCUCUUCAUUCAAUUGAGUUUUAAAUAUUUUAUAUUGAUCGAUUAAGUUUUCGACGUUUUUAAAAGCAAGAAGCCCAUUCGUACACUUUGGUUCCAUUCAUAUUCUUUCAGGUGGGGGUUGUGGAUGAGGGAGGAGGAGAUGAAGGGACAAAGUUAGUAACCACUACUUCAAAUUUACAGAAUACUUAUUCAGAUUCCUUCUUCGACAGAAAGGUAAACAUCCCUUCUCUUAAGAUUUUACUAAUAAUAGCCAUUGAUAAUUGGCUUGCUAGGGCAGAUAAUAAUAUCUCUUUGAAGAUUCUUAUUUGAUUUUAUUUGUUAAAAUAUGUUCACGGUUUAUAACUACAUUUGUCAGUGAAUAUUAAUUCUUCCACCGCAUUAGAUUGGCGGUUAGGGUUAGGCCAAAUUAUCAAUUUUUUUCACAAUUGUAAUCCGAUGCAUAACCCUUAUGAGCAGGCUAGUUUACCAAACUUGGAGAAGUUAAAGCUUAAGUCGGUGGGAUUGUUCAAAAGGAUAUGGCACGAUGAACUUUCCAGAAGUUCCUUUUGCAAAUUAGCCACCAUCAGUGUCAAGAAUUGCUCCAACAUACUCCACAUCUUCCCUUUGACAAUCAUGGGGAGAUUGCACAACCUGAAAAGUGUCAGGGUUAAUAACUGUCCAUCCUUGAAAACAUUGUUCGAUUGUGGGUCCUUGGAUUCAAAUAUGGAGCAAACAACGGUAUUGCUCCCCGAAUUGGUAAGCAUCGACAUUAGAAGCUGUCCCUCCCUAAAAUCGUUGUUUAAUUGUGGGUCCCUUGAUUCAAAUGUGGAGGACUUAAAGCUUGGCUCGGUGGGAUCGUUCAAAAGGAUAUGGCACGAUGAACUUUCUAGAAGUUCCUUUCGCAAAUUAGCCACCAUCACUGUCAAGAAUUGCUCCGACCUACUCCACAUCUUCCCUUCGACAAUAGUAGGGAGAUUGCACGACCUGAAAAGUGUCAGGGUUAAAUACUGUCCAUCCUUGAAAUCGUUGUUUGAUCUUAGGUCCCUAGAUUCAAAUACAGAACAAAAUGCGGUAUUGCUCCCUAAAUUGGAAUGGAUCGACAUUGAAACCUGUCCCUCCCUGGAAUCGUUGUUUCAUUGUGCGUCCCUCGAUUCAAAUGCGGAGCACAAAAUUAUAUUACUCCCCAAACUGGAGAAAGUGAGGGUGAGUGGAGCAAAAAAGCUAAGACACGUGGUCACGAGCCACUCCCAAAUAGUUUUGGGUUUUCCUAGUCUUGAAACUGUUAGUGUUGAGAAUUGUUCUAACCUGAGAUAUCUCUUCGCCGAAUAUACGGCCACAACUUUGGAGAAACUUGAGCUGCUAGAAAUUACUAAAUGCGAACAAAUGAAGGAAGUGAUUCUCGAGAAAGAGGUUGGUCGAUCAAAGGCAGAAGUGAUGAGUUUCCCUUGCUUAAGUGAAUUAACACUUAAGGAGCUCGAUAACCUGAUUAGUUUUAGUUCAGGAAGUGUCAAGAGGCAGAUAAGCGAGACAGCUGAAGAAAAUGAUGAAUCGCCACGACGAUAUUGCUCCCUGAAUUGUCCAUCCUUGAAAUCAUUGUUUGAUUUUGGGUCCCUAGAUUCAAAUACGGAACAAAACGCGAUAUUGCUCCCUGAAUUGGAAAGGAUCAAAGUUGAAAGCUGCCCCUCCCUGGAAUCGUUGUUUAAUUGUGCGUCCCUCGAUUCAAAUGCGGAGCACAAAAUUAUAUUACUCCCCAAACUGGAGGAAGUGAGGGUGAGUGGAGCAAAAAAGCUGAGACACGUGGUCACGAGCCACUCCCAAAUAGUUUUGGGUUUUCCUAGUCUUGAAACUGUCAGUGUUGAGAAUUGCUCUGACCUGAGAUAUCUCUUCCCCAAAUAUACGGCCACAACUUUGGAGAAACUUGAGUUGCUAGAAAUUACUAAAUGCGAACAAAUGAAGGAAGUGAUUCUCGAGAAAGAGGCUGGUCGAUCAGAGGCAGAAGUGAUGAGUUUUCCUUGCUUAAGUGAAUUAACACUUAAGGAACUCGAUAACCUGAUUAGUUUCGGUUCAGGAAGUGUCAGGAGGCAGCUAGGCCAGACAACCGAAGAAAAUGAUGAAUCGCCACGACCGCUAUUCAAUGAGAUGGUUCGUUCUAUUCUUUACUGUGAUCCUUUGUAUUCUCGCAUUAUCAUGUUUUAUAAUGAAGAAUGUAAUGAAUUUGUCCAACUUAUCCUCAUUUCUCACAUUAUCCUUGUGCAGGUCACAUUUCCCAAUAUGAGAAAUCUAAAAAUUGAAGGCGUUCCAUGCAAAGAGCUGUGGAACAAUCAUGUUCUCGCCGAUUCCAGUGUUUGUUCCCACCAAUUCCUUUCAAAAAAUGUUGAGGUUAAAAACUGUCCAUCCUUGAAAUCAUUGUUUGAUUUUGGGUCCCUAGAUUCAAAUGCGGAACAAAACGCGAUAUUGCUCCCUGAAUUGGAAAGGAUCAAAGUUGAAAGCUGCCCCUCCCUGGAAUCGUUGUUUAAUUGUGCGUCCCUCGAUUCAAAUGCGGAGCACAAAAUUAUAUUACUCCCCAAACUGGAGGAAGUGAGGGUGAGUGGAGCAAAAAAGCUGAGACACGUGGUCACGAGCCACUCCCAAAUAGUUUUGGGUUUUCCUAGUCUUGAAACUGUCAGUGUUGAGAAUUGCUCUGACCUGAGAUAUCUCUUUCCCAAAUAUACGGCCACAACUUUGGAGAAACUUAGGUGGCUAAAAAUUACUAAAUGUGAACAGAUGAAGGAAGUGAUUCUCGAGAAAGAAGCUGGUCGAUCAGAGGCAGAAGUGAUGAGUUUUCCUUGCUUAAGUGAAUUAACACUUAAGGAACUCGAUAACCUGAUUAGUUUCGGUUCAGGAAGUGUCAGGAGGCAGUUAGGCCAGACAACCGAAGAAAAUGAUGAAUCGCCACGACCGCUAUUCAAUGAGAUGGUUCGUUCUAUUCUUUACUGUGAUCCUUUGUAUUCUCGCAUUAUCAUGUUUUAUAAUGAAGAAUGUAAUGAAUUUGUCCAACUUAUCCUCAUUUCUCACAUUAUCCUUGUGCAGGUCACAUUUCCCAAUAUGAGAAAUCUAAAAAUUGAAGGCGUUCCAUGCAAAGAGCUGUGGAGCAAUGAUGUUCCCGCCGAUUCCAUUGUUUGUUCCCACCGAUUCCUUUUAAAAAAAGUCGAGGUUAAAAACUGUCCAUCCUUGAAAUCAUUGUUUGGUUUUGGGUCCCUAGAUUCAAAGAUGGAACAAAACGCGGUAUUGCUCCCUGAAUUGAAAAGGAUCAAAGUUGAAAGCUGUCCCUCCCUGGAAUCGUUGUUUAAUUGUGGGUCCCUUGAUUCAAAUGCGGAGCACAAAAUUAUAUUGCUCCCCAAAUUGAAGGGAGUGAGGGUGAGUGGAGCAAAAAAGCUGAAACACGUGGUCAUGAGCCACUCCCAAAUAGUUUUGGGUUUUCCUAGUCUUGAAACUGUCAGUGUUGAGAAUUGCUCUGACCUGAGAUAUCUCUUUCCCAAAUAUACGGCCACAACUUUGGAGAAACUUGAGUUGCUAGAAAUUACUAAAUGUGAACAAAUGAAGGAAGUGAUUCUCGAGAAAGAGGCUGGUCGAUCAGAGGCAGAAGUGAUGAGUUUUCCUUGCUUAAGUGAAUUAACACUUAAGGAACUCGAUAACCUGAUUAGUUUCGGUUCAGGAAGUGUCAGGAGGCAGCUAGGCCAGACAGCCGAAGAAAAUGAUGAAUCACCACGACCGCUGUUCAAUGAGAUGGUUCGUUCUAUUCUUUACUAUGAUCCUUUGUAUUCUCGCAUUAUCAUGUUUUAUAAUGAAGAAUGUAAUGAAUUUGUCCAACUUAUCCUCCUUUCUCACAUUAUCCUUGUGCAGGUCACAUUUCCCAAUAUGAGAAAUAUAAAAAUUGAAGGCGUUCCAUGCAAAGAGCUGUGGAACAAUCAUGUUCUCGCCGAUUCCAGUGUUUGUUCCCACCAAUUCCUUUCAAAAAAUGUUGAGGUUAAAAACUGUCCAUCCUUGAAAUCAUUGUUUGGUUUUGGGUCCCUAGAUUCAAAGAUGGAACAAAACGCGGUAUUGCUCCCUGAAUUUGAAAGGAUCGACAUUGAAAGCUGUCCCUCCCUGGAAUCGUUGUUUACUUGUGGGUCCCUUGAUUCAAAUGCGGAGCACAAAAUUAUAUUGCUCCCCAAAUUGAAGGGAGUGAGGGUGAGUGGAGCAAAAAAGCUGAAACACGUGGUCAUGAGCCACUCCCAAAUAGUUUUGGGUUUUCCUAGUCUUGAAACUGUCAGUGUUGAGAAUUGCUCUAACCUGAGAUAUCUCUUCCCCAAAUAUACGGCCACAACUUUGGAGAAACUUGAGUUGCUAGAAAUUACUAAAUGCGAACAAAUGAAGGAAGUGAUUCUCGAGAAAGAGGCUGGUCGAUCAAAGGCAGAAGUGAUGAGUUUCCCUUGCUUAAGUGAAUUAACACUUAAGGAACUCGAUAACCUGAUUAGUUUCGGUUCAGGAAGUGUCGGGAGGCAGAUAAGCGAGACAGCUGAAGAAAAUGAUGAAUCGCCACGACCGCUGUUCAAUGAGAUGGUUCGUUCUAUUCUUUACUGUGAUCCUUCGUAUUCUCGCAUUAUUAUGUUUUAUAAUGAAGAAUGUAAUGAAUUUGUCCAACUUAUCCUCAUUUCUCACGUUAUCCUCAUGCAGGUUACAUUUCCUAAUAUAACAUGUCUGGAAAUUAAGGGUCUUUGGUGCAAAGAGCUAUGGAACAAUCAAAUUCCCACCAAUUCCUUUCAAAAGUUGAAAUCUCUUGUAUUGGAGAAUUGUGACAAUCUCCAAUGUAUUGCCAGUUCUUAUAUGUGGAAGAAGCUGCAGCGCUGUCUCGAGAAACUAAAAGUGAUUUCAUGCCAUUCGAUCAAGAUCAUAUACGAAGGUGAUGGGACGAAUACAGAGAGUGGUGAAUUGAGGUGGCUGGUUUUGCUUGAUCUUGAAAACUUGAGGUGCAUUUGGCAGUCCGAUAGUCUCCCAAACAUCCCGUUCCCAAAUUUGAGAGACAUAGAGGCCGUGAGGUGCCCCCGUUUGGAAAUGCUUUUCCCUACCUUCACUGUGAAAUUUCUCAGGAAAAUCAAAGAGCUGGUGGUGGAGUCAUGUGAAGAUCUAGAACUAAUUGCUGGCCAUGAAAAAUGGGAAGAAGUGACCGGCACCACAAUCACCUUCUCCGAGUUAACUGAUCUUAAACUUUUCAAGUUGCCGAAAUUCAAAAGCUUCUUACCUGAGAAAUACUCUCUAAAAUUCUCGUGCUACGAGAACUUCCCAUCCUUGAAAGCCUUGAGUAUAGUAAGCUGUGGAGCAGAGCCAGACCUAAGCUAUGAAGUAGAGUCGAACCAACUCUCUGAUUACUCGGAAGACUCGGACCCGCGCUAUGAAGCAGAGUGGAACUAAGUCCUUGAUUACUCGGAAGACUCCCAAAUAGAAUGAAGACUUCGCAAGCAUUCAUAAGACAUCAGGUAUUCCUUCAAUAUUUCAUUGCUUUGGUUUGGCUUUUUGUUCCUUUGAAUCAAAAAUCGGUUUGUAUAGCUAAGACACAAUUCUUAGUGGGACCCAGACGCACUCUACAUCACGUGGCCCUCUCUCUUCCUUUUUCUCUCUCUCUAGCUCUCUUUCUUACUCUCUUCAACUAACGAUGUAUCGAUUCCCUUCUAUCCAUCCACCCACAGCCGCCACCGAGAGUCCAUCGCUGGCCACCACAUGACAUGGCGCGCUGAGAAGGGACGAAGAACAGAGAGCAUUGAUCGAAGGCUCUCGGUGAUUUCAAUUGAAUCCUUUCCUCUCACUUGGCUGCUUGUCGUCACCGCUUCCCGAUCACCACUUGUUCUGCUACCGCGAAGAAGUUCUGUAAUGUCGGAGUGCUCGAACUUGGGUCACGACUGCCUACUUCGACGAUUCCAUCCCUUGAUGUUGCUUCUAUUAUUUCUUUACUCAUAUCCGAUCUCAAUUGCUAUAGCUAAUCGUUCUCUAGUCAACUAAACCAUAUAUGCUAUGUUUUCUGUUCCUAUUGCUACUGUCUGUGUGCAAAUCAACGACUAUGAUUGAAGGGUUGUAUUAAUGAUUUGAAGCAGUGCUUCUCGGCCUAAAUUAAUGUAUGCAACCUGUUUGAUGAAAUUCCUGAACUAAGUCGGUGUGUAUUUUUUAUUCAAUUCUUGACCGAGAAUUCCCUUGAUUACUAGAUUGUUGAUCUAUACUGGUCAUUUAAGCAUAUUUGAGUUGUGUUUCUUCAUAGAAAAAUCAUAGGUGUUCAAUUUCAAACUUGUUUGGAAUCUGCUGGAACCUUGUCGAUACUUGCUGAUUCGCCAUUGUUGCGGCCCUGAGCUGAUGUCAAUUGGUCCUUGAUUUUAUGCUAUUCCACUCAAGUAAGCAUGUGCAGUGAUAUAAGAUUGUCUUAUGGUGAAUUUCAUGUUUGUUUGGAAAAGAAAUUAUGUCAUGGAUGAAUGAAAUUCUACUGGAAAUUGAUCCAUGUAUGCUGGCCCUGUCUUGAUAUCCCUGAUUGGGUGUGCUUUUGAUUCCAGCUUGAAGCUAGUUUGGUUAUGGGAUCAUAUAUGUUCAUGCUAGGAAAGUAAUAGGGUGAAUUUCAUACCAUUUAGCGAGAAUUGGGUUCAUCUCCGAACUUGAAUAUGCUAGAGCGAAGUAUUGCAUGCUGACCAUGAUUGUUUUGUUUAAAUUUGGCACUAAUUUGGUCUUUGAUUGAUGUCAUUUUGAUCAAGUAGACUCAUAUGCACUUAUAGGAUGAUAUGGCUCCUAUUCAUGUGAAUUAGUCAUCAAAAGAUCACAAUUUGUGGUCUUUAUGCUCUGUUACAAUUUUGAACACGUGCCGGAAUUUUUGUCUUUAUUUGGUUGCCUUCUUUAUUGCCCGUGGAUAAGUGAUAUGCAUGUGCAUGAUUAAAUUGAUGAGACGUGCGCUUGAUAUUGCCAUGAGAGUCUUGGCCUGAUAAAUAAUUUAGAGGACUCUAAUGUUAAUUGAAGUUUAAUUCCAUAAUUCUUGCGAUUCCAAAGGAAACCCUUUACUAGUACACAUAUUUUGAAGGUGAUAUGGUAGACUAAGCCAGAUUUGAGGAAAUCCCUCAACGAAGCUAGUCAAUGAGGCCCCUCGAAAUAUCGCAUGUAUGACACUUGCCAACAAAGUUCAUGUAUUCUCUUCCUCUCCUUUGACGCUCACCGUUCAAGGCUUAUUUACAAGAGCUAUUGCUUAAAUCUAAUUGAUCCUUCAAGUGUGUGUGUUUGUACCAAGACACUGUGCACAACACCAAUUGCAACCUACUCAUUCAUGAUGUCCUUUUUCUAGGAGUGUUCACUGGUCACUAUUGCUCAGAAUGAUGUUUCAAAGAUACAAUUUUUGUUUUCCUCCCUCCCCCAUAGAAUUUGCAAAGGCAUGUCACUAGCACUACUAGUAACCUGCCCUUGAAAUCCAUCAUGACCCUGCCCAUAUGAUCCACCAGGAGUAGGUCCCUAGUUCCGAUUGUCUCUCCUAUAAACUAUUCUGCAAUGGAGGUGCAGAGCUCCAUCUAUCUCCUUGCAUCUAUCUCCUUGCAGCAGGUCUCUCUAUUGAUGAUAGUAAUAAUUUUUUAUGACCCUGCUGAUAGGAGGUCCCCUGAUCUGAAAAAGUUGAAUCUUUUCCCUCUAAGAAGUUUAUGCUAUAAAUCUCGAAUGGAAAACACUUAGCCAAGAAGAACUUGAUGAACCAUAUGAAUUUAUCUUAAUGUCCACACGAUAACAUCAACUCAUCCAAAGCAUUUUAUACAACAAUGGCAUUGUGUGUCCUUUCCACAACUUGCUUUAAUCAAUAGAGAAUAUCCAUCUGAAUCACAACUUUGUCCUGCUCAGCUCAUUCUACUCAUAUUUCUCAAUUUCAGCAACUCAAAACACUGCGAUUUAACCCAAAAUCACUUGAAAAUUUUGUUAUAUAUCAUUGCAUUUGCAUACUAUUAGAAUCGAAUGCCACUAAUUUUACAUAGUCGAUCAUGUCGUGAGAGCAUCGGGAAGAGUGGUGGGCUAUCCGAGGAUUUUGCCACCCACAUCGGGAAACGUUUCGAAACCGGCCAAAGGACCAACUUUACCGUCUCUGCUCACAUGGAUGGGAUACUGUAUCAGGUGGCCUCUCAUUUCCUUGGGAUUAUGUUGGUCCUCAUCCACAUAAGCUUUCCAAUUCUGUUUGGCUAUUUUGUUCACCCUCUUCACGCAUUCAGUGCUUUGAGGUUCCCUAAAGCUGUCCUCUAAAUCUCCAAAGUGCUCUGCCCAAAGCAACAUCCUAUAACCAUAAACCUACGCAGCAUAAGCUAACAUUAUUAGUCACAAGCUUAAGGUUUUGAUAGAUGUCGCUACACUCGCAAGGGUGUCUACCUAGUACCUCUAUUUAGAUAAGAGGCUAAUCCGAUGUACUAACCUGGCCAUGCGGAUGCCUCUUUUUCCCAUCCCAAGUGUGAUGCGGCUGAUAAGCCCCAUUGCGAUUUCGGUGUCUCUUGAGCCAUCUAGAGAUCUUUGGUUGAUAUUUGCCGAUCCCAUGAUCACAUACUCAUCAUCUACUAUCAUCCCUUUGGCAUGCACGUAUAUCAUGAACCUGUGAAACUUUUGAACCGAAGCCUGCAUGGAUAGAAACGACAGCAUGUUUCAAAGCAGAAGUCUUUUUACCACUCAUUCAAAAACCAUAGCUCUUAAAGACUAUUUUUGUUUUGCUUUUUUAACAGAUAAGUCAAAGGAAGAAUCCAUGAAAAGAGUAUAGACAUAUACCAAGGCAUUAUUUUCGGAUUGCUGAUUCGUUGCCUGGGAUGAAGAUUGUGUAGAGGACAAGGGCUCCCGCUUGCCAAGGCAAUAGAAGUUCAAGUAAUCUGACAGAUGGUACUUGUGUGACAACCCGACUUUUUUGAGAGUCUGGGCUAUAAUUUUGUACAUCAUCGUCAUGGUUUGUCCCCGUCCACGUCAUGGUUUGUCCCCAUCCACAUUAUCAAUACAUAAAUAUGAGAGUAGUGAAUGUUUAUCUCUUGGAGAAAAAUACUAAAUGACCUAAACAAGGUCGGGUCUCAUUUUUUCCCCUUUGAGUAGCUAGGUUUCUUCUGCUUGGAUCACUUCCUUUUCUGCUUAACUCUGUUCAAUGUGUUAUUCAGUUUCAAUUUGCUAGGACGUUACUUAUUGAUAUACCGUUAUCGAAAUGCAAGUGUCAUCGCUAUUUGUUUGCAAGAUGAAAGAGUUUAUCCUUGAUCUGACCUGCCAGAAGAGAAUUUCUUGCACUGCAGCACUAGUAAGGACACCCUCGGGCCACAUUGGUAUCACUAUAUACACGUAGAAGCGCUCAUUUUCACUGAUCUUUCUUGCGAUCUUCAACGCCAGCUCCAUCGGCACUAGAUUGUUUGCACCUGCUUGUCAAAACCAAAUCAAGCGUUGUUUCCCAUGAAAACUUGAACUCAAGAAAUUAGGACUGAAACAAAACUAGAAAAUGGGGGAAAAAUCUAAAUUUAAAAAGGUUUGACCUCAGAAAUAUAACAUAUUGAAUCAGAAGUCAAUUUUAAUGUCUUAUAUAGUGAGAUCUAGCUCUUAUUAGCUGAUACACAAUCCCCAGAGGAAGCAAAGUUCGAUACUCUUUACUAGAGGUGCUAUUGCUCACUAAACUCAAGUCAGUUAGAAUGAAUAGAAAUGUGCAUCAUAUACCUGCAUUUUUGUAUGAUGGCCAAUGGUAGGAAGAGCCAAGAAAAUAUUGGUUUUCAAUAUAGAUGAAGUGUUGCGCCGAUCUAAUCGCUUUCACAUAUGCCGUGUGAAUCCUCUUGUCUACUUUCAAGUUCUUUCCGCAUAUAAGAUUCUGCAACCAUGAAGAGAUUGAAAGAAGCAACAUUAUCAUUGUGGGCUUCAAUCUAUAUUAAAAAACACUAAGAGUUGUGCACAAGAAAGAAAAGUGACUUUCUAAUGUGAGGAAAAAUUUUCAAGUUACGCUUAUAUAACGGCCACUUGCCUAUCUACUAGCAUGGAAUUAGCAGCUAAAACUUACUUGCUUUGCAGCUUCUUCAACGCUCUUUGGGAAUCCCUUUACAGAUCCUGAAUCAAUUGAUCUGAAGAUCUAUACCAACGUAAAAUAGAAAUGAAAGACCAUCAUUACACUUCGUUUUGUUUACGAAUGAAGUCCUUAAAAAUGGUCAUUAAUUUUACAUAAAGUUUCCCGACCUGCACGUGCCAAUUUUCCAGGUCAUCUUCGUCCUUAACUUGUACUUUUUGUUGCCAUCGGGGCUUGUCGAGGGACAAAGUAUCCAUGAAAUCCUGUCAAGCCUUAAGAGAGCAUUCUCAUGCCAACGCCUGACGUUUUUUAGCUUGAACACGCGCCACUUCACCGCCUUUUUCCAUCUCUGUUCGAAAUUCUUCAAUAUGUCAUACACAGCUUGUCCCUCAACUUUGCAAUGUAGAUCAUGCCACGGUUGCCUUGGGACAUUGACAGUGGACUACAGUCGUUACCCAAAAAAAAAAAAGCAAUGAUUAAAUGAUCAGAAAAUAACGUUUACUUGUGUUUACAAUGCUGAAGAGAAACAUUAGCUUAAUUACCGUGAAUGUUGGGUUGUGAAUGUCAUUGUUAAACACGGUGUCACGAUCGCUAUAGAGUCUAUGCUUGGGAGUGUUGUGUCGGCCAUCACAUAGGUCCAACCCACCAAUGAAAGCUGUUAUUUUGCGGUUGUUUCCCGAGGCUUGAGUGUCGAGAACCACGCACUUUUGGUGGUGCGUGUACAGGGUCCCCACCACCUGGACUACAAAAGAUCCACACACCAACAAAUUAAACCAAACAUUUUCAUAGAUUUAUGCUGGAUUUCAAUUGAAUGUGCAGUCUCUACAACACUAUCAAAUUCCCUAUUAGAGCUGUCCCAGAUGCAUGUCAUUAGGUCAGAAAACACAUGAUAUGAUAUAAGACAGCAUGAGACAAAUCAAUAAACUUCCACGGAUAGUCUGAUGAAAAGAGAACCUUUCCCAUGAAAUUAUACCCGAUUGGAAUAUCAUGAAAUUAUACCUGAUUGGAAUAAUUAGGUAAUAUAUAUCAAAAGUAAUGCUUUUGAUGCAAUCAGACAAUGAGAUUCUGAUUAAGAAUCGACCUAAACAUCUAAGGAUACAUACAUGUUGCUUGAAAAUGCUGAGUUUGGUGCUUGCAUAACGAGGAGCAAGCACACAGUGGACACCAGAGUGUUGAAAAAACUUCUUUGUCUCUUCAUCAUGAGUUUGCAUCACGCCAUCCUACACAACAACAUGGCACAUGCCGAGUCUCAAUGGUGAGAGAUCUCGAUAAAGAAAUUUUCCUAAGUCGGACAGAUUUUUAGUCACAAAGAGCAUGGAUUUGAGAUUUGGCCAAAUGGUGGGUUGCACCAUAAAUAAGGAUGCUUAUUCAAGAAAGAGCCCUUAUAUAACAUAUUCUCCAUUUGGAUUUUGCAAAGGCUAACUGAAAGGAAGAACUAUUAGAGGUCAAGAUUUUGAUUAGUCCAUCCUUUGUGUCGAAAAACAAAAAACUUCUUGUUUUGUAAACAUUCAUUAAGCCGACAGUAAAAGUGAGAAAAUCCUUUACUGACUAUGCACCAUUGAUAAAAAGGGUGAUCCUUAGAUGCGAUGCCAGUAGAAUGAAAAAUAUGUUCGCAUGGGCUCUCACCACCAUUGAUGCAUUGAUUGUAACUUCAAACCACUCUAUUGCACUGGCCCAACACAUCAGUAGUGAUGGAAGCCGCGGGCGGACAAAUUUUUCUCGACCUGACAGUAUUUCAGUCAUCCCAAAAACCAUAAAGACAUUUUCAUGUUUCAGCAAUGCAUAGUUACAUGUAAGCAUGGUUUAGUAUUACCGUCUUCAAGAGGAACUUGUCGUGUGAAGUUUUGUCAUCCCAAACGAGCACGACCACUCGGACGCCUUCCUCGGACUUGUGCUUCAGGAGCUCCCCUAAAGAGAGCUUUCCUUCAUUCGGCAAUUCCCUUGUUGUUAGGGAAAUCCCUUAUGAUGUUUUGAAGAUGACAAAAUAAAUCAAAGGCUACUAACAUGUUUGAUGGUUGAGUAAUAGACCAUGCAGAUAAUAGAACAUGUAAAGGAUAUUAUCAAAGUCUGAAGACUGCUAGACUCAAGACUCAAAGUCUGAAGACUGCCAGACUCGAGACUCAAAGUCUGAAGGCUACCAGACUUUAGUAUCAAAGUCUGUUCUACCUCAGAAGUCUGUUAACUCUGACUAAUUCCAGAUUGAACGUGAAUGAUGAACCAGAAGACAGACUCUAUGCUGAAGCUGAACUGGGUACAGACCCAGAUUGUAAAGUCUAGAGACUCAGAUUGUAAAGUCUAGAGACUCAGAUUGUAAAGUCUCAAGACUCAUAUCGUAAAGUCUAAAGACUCAGACUUUACAUCCAGAUUCGAUGAAUCGUAACUCAAGCCCAAUCAUACAACGGCUAGUGAUCUGGUUUGAAUUCCACAUCAAGAUUGAUUUGAUUGAUUCAAUCUACUUGAUUGACGAUUGGAUGUUGAAGACAAGAAAUUUCUAUACGAAGAAGCUUUACUUAUGGAAACCAAGAUUUCGUUUGUAUGGGCGAUCGGAAUCAAUUUGGGAUUCUACCUUUGUCACUCAACGGCUACCAAAUCUUCUAGAUACAGAGCUGUCCAAUGGGUAUAUUGGAAGACGAUUCUCCGGGAUACUGUCCAACGGGUAGUUUGGAAGUGGAGGAGUAUUUAAGGAGAUCAUGGACCGAUGAGCAAGUAAGAGACGGAGCGUAGAAUUUAUAAUUCCAAAGUCUAAGCGACUUUAGAUCAUAUACUUGUCUCUUGAGAGCUUAAACGUUUGUAAUCAUGAGAGAAAUACCAAGAGAGUGACUUAGUGAGAUAGUGUGAUCUACUAAGUGUUUGCACUCGGAGUUGUAAUCUCUUGUUGAUUGCAUAGUGGAAUCCAGCCAAGAAGGCUGUUAUCGUGGGAGAGUGGACGUAGGCUUGGAUUAAGCCGAACCACUAUAAAUCUUGUGUUCUUAUUCUCUUCCCUAACUCCUUUAUUUUGUUCAUACUAGCACUCUCAAUUGGUAUCAGAGCCAAGUGCUCGGUUUAUAAAAGUGUUUUUACUUUUGAGCUAAAGAUUCUUUAUGGCUAGUAUGUUGGCACCAGGACUUAUGGAAGGGCAAAGCAACACAAGGCCACCAUAUUUCGAUGGAAGAAAAUACAAGCAGAAUGGCCAGAAAAGAAUCAUGAAAGAAGAUGAUGAGCAAAGAAAUCUAUGCUUAAUGGCACAUUCAGAAUCUGAGUCUGACUCAGACACAGACUCAGAAACAGAGUCUCAUUCAGAACCAGACUCAGAAUCCGAUGAGGAAAUCAAGGGGAGAAAUCAAAUCCAAAAGAAAAGGAAAAGAAUCGUGAUCAUCUCAAAAAGGCAACAAAUUGAGGGGGAGCUUUGAUCAAUUAUGGAAAAAUCUUUUUUGAUUGAUCGUGAUCUUAUUAUGGAUGGAAGGAAAGGUAAUUGUGUCAGAAUUUAUUCUACAAAAUCCGGUUAGUGCAUCUCUUAUUACCUUUUGUCAUUAACAAAUCUCAUAUUGAUAUUAUCAUGACAAAAAUGGUACGUGAAUUUUAUGAUGCAUCAGUGAUUUUUAUUGGAUAUUUGCUGAUAUAAUCGAAGUGAGCUAUAUUGCAUAUCUUUAAUAUUCGAUAAAAGCUGAUUUUUGAAAAUUGUGAUUCAUGCAAGAUAUUUGUUAUCAUUCUCUACGUGAAUCCAUUAUCACUUUUUAAUUAUGACAAAAAGGGGGAGAAGUUAUGAAUAUGCAUAUGUGCUGAUUGGUUAAUAUUAUAUUAUCUAUGGCAUAAUAUUGAGCUGCGAUUAUUUUCUAUAUAUUCUUAUGCUCAAUCUAUUUGUUAUCUUGUGAUAUCCUUUGAUUUAAAAGUAUGUUUACAAAUCUGCAUAUUCAGAGAUUGUUUUGUCAUCAUCAAAAAGGGGGAGAUUGUUAGGGAAAUCCCUUAUGAUGUUUUGAAGAUGACAAAAUAAAUCAAAGGCUACUAACAUGUUUGAUGGUUGAGUAAUAGACCAUGCAGAUAAUAGAACAUGUAAAGGAUAUUAUCAAAGUCUGAAGACUGCUAGACUCAAGACUCAAAGUCUGAAGACUGCCAGACUCGAGACUCAAAGUCUGAAGGCUACCAGACUUUAGUAUCAAAGUCUGUUCUACCUCAGAAGUCUGUUAACUCUGACUAAUUCCAGAUUGAACGUGAAUGAUGAACCAGAAGACAGACUCUAUGCUGAAGCUGAACUGGGUACAGACCCAGAUUGUAAAGUCUAGAGACUCAGAUUGUAAAGUCUAGAGACUCAGAUUGUAAAGUCUAGAGACUCAGAUUGUAAAGUCUAGAGACUCAGAUUGUAAAGUCUCAAGACUCAUAUCGUAAAGUCUAAAGACUCAGACUUUACAUCCAGAUUCGAUGAAUCGUAACUCAAGCCCAAUCAUACAACGGCUAGUGAUCUGGUUUGGAUUCCACAUCAAGAUUGAUUUGAUUGAUUCAAUCUAAUUGAUUGACGAUUGGAUGUUGAAGACAAGAACUUUCUAUACGAAGAAGCUUUACUUAUGGAAACCAAGAUUUCGUUUGUAUGGGCGAUCGGAAUCAAUUUGGGAUUCUACCUUUGUCACUCAACGGCUACCAAAUCUUCUAGAUACAGAGCUGUCCAAUGGGUAUAUUGGAAGACGAUUCUCCGGGAUACUGUCCAACGGGUAGUUUGGAAGUGGAGGAGUAUUUAAGGAGAUCAUGGACCGAUGAGCAAGUAAGAGACGGAGCGUAGAAUUUAUAAUUCCAAAGUCUAAGCGACUUUAGAUCAUAUACUUGUCUCUUGAGAGCUUAAACGUUUGUAAUCAUGAGAGAAAUACCAAGAGAGUGACUUAGUGAGAUAGUGUGAUCUACUAAGUGUUUGCACUCGGAGUUGUAAUCUCUUGUUGAUUGCAUAGUGGAAUCCAGCCAAGAAGGCUGUUAUCGUGGGAGAGUGGACGUAGGCUUGGAUUAAGCCGAACCACUAUAAAUCUUGUGUUCUUAUUCUCUUCCCUAACUCCUUUAUUUUGUUCAUACUAGCACUCUCACUUGUGAGCUCUCUCACAAGCCUCACAUGAUGAUAAAUGGACCAACCAAUGAUGUAGAUCAAGUGGUAGGUCUCCAAAAUGGCAUGGCAUAUAUCCUUUCAGCACCUACCUUGCUCAUAAAUCUUCCCAUCAUCAAGCAAAAUCUAAGGCAGCUUGCGCUUUGGGACAUGAGCAUCUUGCUAAAAUGUCACAUCCCCACCUUUCCUUAAGUGGAAAAUAUGUGUUUGGUACACUCACAUAGUUUGGCCCAACCCCAACACCAUUCUUGCAUAAUAGAUUAUCACUAAUCAGCAUGAAUUGGAUCGAGAUGUGAAGUUUUGGAUAGGACUUGAGGGGGCUUCUGAAGUUGUCAAUUAUUGGGAACUAGCCAUUGAUCGUGUUGCCAAACACAAUCUUGUCCAUUGGUAUAUCCACGACCCUGAUGAGCUCGGCCCCAAAUGCAUCUUUGUUCUUCACAUAAGACUCCACCUUCAUUAUUGGCUGCGCUAAGGAGGAAUAGAAUUGCUUGUCCCAUGGAGGUUUUCACAAUUCAAAAUUAUUAACACCUAAAUUUUGUCAACAAUGCACGGACAAAAUUAUGAACAACAAUAAUGGUAAAAAAUUGUCACACGACUUUACCUAAAAAAAAAAAAAAUUGUCACACGCCAUUGCUGGACUUCGAUUGCGGGUUCCAGUGUCGUCUGGCUGCAGCUCUGAUCGCGUGCUGUUCGACCGCGAGGCGCUCCUUCGGUUUGUUCUUUCACUUCAGUGAUCGGCGGAAGGUUGCCGUAAGUUCAAACCGCAUGGAAAAGGACGCCCCGGCUCAGUCGACUCCCAACCAUCACUUUCGAAUCUUCUCUCCACUGAUUGAGCUCUUCCAUUUCUUACUCUAAAUCAAGCCCUAGUGUCGUCCUCGCGUCAAGCUCUGGGAAUCAGAAUCAAAGUUGCUCUCGCGUCGAAUGAAUGUUUGGAUACUGCUCAGGAGGCGUUCGAUGAAAUGAUAUUUGGUCCUAAAGUGGUGGUGUGAUUAAUUGUCUUCACAUUGCAAGUGGGAUCAUAAAAUUCCAUGAAUUGGACCUUUGAUUGUAUGCGACGACACGAUAUUCUUCCGCAGCUAUGUUCGAGAAAGCUGCGAAUUUAAUUAAUGCGAGACAAAGGGCGUAGCGUUCCGUCGAUGAAGCUCAAAACAACACGAAGCCGAUCAAAGCGGGCGUCCAGAAAUGGGUAGACAGGCGCGGAGAUCCUUGCCGAUGAGGCGCGCGGCGUGCUGGAAAACGACAGAAGAGCCAAGAAAACUUGCUUCCGCAGGUAGUUUCCCAACCUGAAGGGGCACUAUCGUCUUGGCAGGGUGGCGAGGAGGACAGCCGAGGCCAUCCGGGCACUUGAAUCGCAG